This 66067-nucleotide long non-coding RNA is filed under the name Malus domestica (apple). RNAcentral describes it as "long non-coding RNA (MDOM_LNC017289)". The record is from RNAcentral. Lineage: Eukaryota; Viridiplantae; Streptophyta; Magnoliopsida; Rosales; Rosaceae.
GAAAGUCCCUGUGUGUCAACCUCUGUGCUUCGUGGCAAGGUAGACUAGCAAACAUGCCCAACCUUUACUCACAUUCGAGAAAACACUCCCAACAAGAUUGCUUGCUCCAAAAUCGAAGAGGCACCGCCCUCCGAAUCUCGAGAGCCAGACUCCCAACGUGAUUACUUUCUCAAAAAUCGAAGAGACACUGCUCCCCGAAUCUUCGAGAGCCAGACCCCCAGCAUGAUUGCUUUCUCAAAAAUCGAUGAGGCAUCGUUCUCCGAAUCAAUCGAAGAGGCGCUCGCUUUCUCAAAAGCUGGGCUGCUCAAAGACCACGAGGGCCGAUCUCAGAAAUCGAAGAGGCACCUACUUUUCUAGCCUUGUCAGCACCUGUCACACGCACACUCAGCUUUGCAGAAAUUAUGGGCAUUCUGUCGAAGACUUCUGGUGAAGUAGAAAACACAUGAAUCUUACUGUUCAAUCACCCACUUCCCACACGCAACAAUAGCUCAUGGGUACCACAGAUAACUUUGCCAAAGUUCUCUGCCAAAGUUGAGCACGUGAAGCUUGCAGCUCCCACUACAUCGCUCUGACCAAGAAAGGUAAAAGAAUAGCAAAGAAACAGCACUAACAAAGUUUAGACACAUAAAUUUUGAAGGUCUAGCUACCAUAUUAUUACCCACAAGGGUAAAGGAACAGUACCACUGCUGGAUAAUUGGAAAGUCCCUGUGUGUCAACCUCUGUGCUUCGUGGCAAGGUAGACUAGCAAACAUGCCCAACCUUUACUCACUUUCGAGAAAACACUCCCAACAAGAUUGCUUGCUCCAAAAUCGAAGAGGCACCGUCCUCCGAAUCUCGAGAGCCAGACUCCCAACAUGACUACUUUCUCAAAAGCGAAGAGAGGGUAAAGGAACAGUACCAUUGCUGGAUAAUCGGAAAGUCUCUGUGUGUCAACCUUUGUGCUUCGUGGCAAGGUAGACUAGCAAACAUGCCCAACCUUUACUCACAUUCGAGACAACACUCCCAACAGGAUUGCUUGCUCCAAAAUCGAAGAGGCACCUGCCCUCCGAAUCUCGAGAGCCAGACUCCCAACAUGAUUACUUCCUCAAAAAUCGAAGAAGAGACACUGCUCUACGAAUCUCGAGAGCCAGACCCCCAGCAUGAUUGCUUUCUCAAAAAUCGAAGAGGCAUCGUUCUCCGAAUCUCGAGAGCCAGAUACCACAGACCACUUUUUCAAAGUGCUCUGACAGAGUUAAAACAUGUGAAACUGGCAGCUCCCACUACCGUGCUAUGACCAAGCAGGGUAAAGGAAUAGCAUUACUACUUGUUGUUAGGGAGACUCCUAUAUAUGUCGACCUCCAUCCCCAACGGACAGGCAGACCUGCAAAAAUGCUCAACCCUUCAUCAUAUCUGAGAGGGCACUCCCAACGAAGCCUUUCGAAAUAUUCAGCUUUCUUUCCCCCCGAUAAUACCUCUGCAAACAAGCUAUACUAGAGCAGAAUAUCUCAUAUCAUCAGGGUUAAAAGCAAGAGUAUCCCAUAUCAUGCUUUUUCCCUGUCUUUUCCUUUGGCCUUGUUUUUUACCUGCAAGACAAGGAGAAAGAGAGCAAUCAGUCAGCACUUGGAAUCAAGCUUCCAGCCAGGAACUGACUGCCUGGAACCCCUUACCUGAUUACUUACCUGGCAUUGCUCUCGAGUACUCAUCUUCAACAUCUUAUGUUUCCAGGGAAGAUUCCGCAUCUGCUUGAGGAACAGAUAGGGCAAGUGCGAAGGAUACAAGGAAGCAUGUGGAGACAAGCGUAACAGCACACGUGCCGAUACAUCCAUUACUCUGUCAAAAGCAAAAGUAUCCCAUAUCAGCAGGGUGGAACGUACUCUAGAUUUGAUGGACUUGUUUUGACCCUCAAAUUCUUCAGUCGGCCUUAUACUCUGGAGGAAACCAGAAAACCCUCCAGCUCAGUUCAAGAAUAAGCCUGUGGAAAGUUACUUCUUCAAAAGCAAAAGUAUCUCAUAUCAUCUCUUCUCAUUUUUUCUUCUCUUUAUCCUUCAUGCUGCUGCAAGAUGGGGAGAAGGUGAACAAUCAGUCGGAGCUCUGAUUGCUUACCUUGUCUGUCACCUCUUUCAGCAGACCCCCUAGCUCGGCGACUUGGGGGACUCCUACUACAUGGUUUGUAUCGCGCUUGACCAAGCCUGAAACUACAAGUAAGCUUCAAGUGAAAUUGAUACAUUACCUUGUGCAUCUCCACCAGUUAAAGAUACCACCCCUGGAUGGAGGAAGAGUACUUCCAGAGAAGAUGCCACAUCUACCUAUGAGACAGAUAAGGCAAGUCAAGACGACACCACACUCCGAUACUUAGAAGUUUCGUGAUUACGAGAUCAUUCUCCCACAAUAUUUCCUAAUGUCAUUUGUACUAAAUCAUUCACUUGUACUCACUAAAGGAGAGCUUGAACCUAUGUACUUGGUGUAAACCCUUCACAAUUAAUGAGAACUCUUCUAUUCCGUGGACGUAGCCAAUCUGGGUGAACCACGUACAUCUUGUGUUUGCUUUCCUAUCUCUAUCCAUUUAUAUACUUAUCCACACUAAUGAACGGAGCAAUCUAGCGAAGAUCACAAAAAGCGACCGUUUUCGCUACCUAGGAUCUAUCUUGCAAGAGAACGGAGAAUUAGAUGGAGAUCUCAACCAUAGAAUACGAGCUGGAUGGAUGAAGUGUAAGAGUGCAUCCGGCGUGUUGUGUGACCGUCGUAGGCCACUGAAGCUCAAGGGAAAAUUUUAUAGGACGGCAAUAAGGCCAGCGAUGUUGUAUGGCACAGAAUGUUGGGCGGUGAAGCAUCAACACGUACACAAAAUGGGUGUAGCGGAGAUGAGGAUGCUUCGUGGGAUGUGUGGGCACACGAGAAAGGAUAAGAUUGGGAAUGAGGAUAUCCGAGGUAAAGUAGGAGUAGCCGAAAUUGUAGGAAAGAUGAGAGAAAAUCGGCUCCGAUGAUUUGGACAUGUGCAAAGAAGGCCGACUGACGCUCCGGUUCGAAGAUGUGACUACGGGACAGAGGUUCAGGGCCAAAGGGGUAGAGGAAGACCUAAGAAAACUUUGGAAGAGACUCUAAGAAAAUACUUAGAGUACUGGGAUCUAACGGAGGACAUGACACAAAACCGAGCGCAAUGGCGUUCUAGGAUUCAUAUAGCCGACCCCACUUAGUGGGAAAAGGCUUUGUUGUUGUUGUUGUAUAGUAUUUACAAUUAAAUUUAUGAAAUCUUACUUGAGUUUGUUUAUUUUAUUUUAUUUUAAAAUAAACGAUAUUAUCUACAUUAAAAGGGUAAAAAAGUGGACUAAGCCUUAUAAUGGGAGGACAAUAAUAAUAUGAUUCAAAUUUUCUUUUGACGGAAAUCAAAUCUAAAAUUUUUCUCACUUAUAAAAAUGAAGAGAAAAUGAUGCAUACAUGUCAAGAAUAAGAGAAAAAUAACAAAGGAGAUAUUAUUUUGGCGAUAGCAGAUUCGUGCCCAGAGUGAGUCGCUCUGUUACACUGACGUGUAGCAUAGGAGAACUCUAAUGACUCCAGCUAUGAAGCUAACUGCCAAACUAUCAUAGUUAUAAAAAAAUGUUAAAAGCUAGUCGGACCUAGCUUUAGCAUCAAUCACAUGCGACUUAAAUGUUUAUUAAACAGCACUUUUAUGAUUUGAUGGAAAACAGAAUAAUCAAAAGGAUUUUCGAUAGGUAUCAUAUAAAGGCCAACUAGCCAAGUCCAUUCAAACCCAAUUAGCACGGUCCGAGUCAAAAAUUUCCAACAAAUCAAGGAUCCAAUUAUGGUAGGUAGCAUUUUCACAAUUACAUAAUAUUUCUUUCCAGUUAAUGCCACCAAGUAUUUUGCCCAUCCCUUUCCGAUUCUCAUUGUGAGGAUCAUACGGAUUGAUCAAUUAUAGUCGCUCACCACAUAUUUUGCAGUUAUAAAUCAUUGAAUUUUUAAUUCUUUCUCUAUGGCAUAAUGAUUUUCAACUGCAUAAUGUGUGGUGAGCGGUUAAGAAUAAUUGAUCCCUAAGAGUAAGAAUCCUCACAACGAGAAUUCGAAGAGGAUCCAGAUCCCAAACUAGGGAUGGGUUGAACCAUCUAGGUGAGGGGAGUGAGUCGAAGGUGUCCUAAAGCUUUAGACUAUUUGUUUGUGGCAAAUAAUCAUGGGAAAAUGAGGUACAUAUAAUUUAAUUAUCUACUAACGAUUAUAGGUGUGCUAAACUACCUUCUUAUCAAGUGAUAUUUAUCUGUUUCAAAUUCGAAUUCCCUCGCUAAUGAUCAUUUCGUGUAGAGGCGUUUAGUCUCUAUUUUAUUAGAGAAAGUUAUGUGUUUAAGUCUCAUGGUACGUAGUUGUCGAAUACAAAAAGUUUCAGUCCUCUCCUCGAUCUAUUGGAGGAAGUUAUCAUUGUCAUUCGAUGAUCGUUUUAAGUGUUUAAAACAGCAUGGUCAAUCAUUAAAUUUAGCAAUGCAUGUCAUAUAUUGAUUUAUGCUAAACUUUUUGUAAUAAAAAUAAAUUGUAAUACAUAGACAUCAAUUGAACAUGUAUUUGAUAAGGAUGCUAUCCUCUCCAGACCUUGGUGUCCAUAGCAUAAGGACCAAAAAAUCUGAACGCAUUUGGUUUGUGUGAAAGAGAAAUCGAAACCCUUAAUUUGUUUAAGGUGGGCCAGCGAAAUAAAUUAAUGAGGCCCGUCAGAUUCAAUUUGAGUGGUCUGACUUGCGUGGUCCUUCGGCUCUGGAUGAUGAAAUUCAGAGUGGAUCUUUAUCCUCCCUUGUAAACUUUAAACAAAAACUCAAUACCACACAAUACCACUCAUGUUUUUUGUUACUCUUAAUUAUUUCAAUGUAUAAGAACGAUGAUUCAAAUUCGAGUAUGAUGAGUUGGACACAUUAUUUUUAUAAUAUGGCUUAACUCGCAUUUGUCAUUGCUUCAAUUUAUAAAAAUGAGAAUUCGAAUUAAUGAACAAGAAGUCGAGCACACUAUCAUGACGAACUGAAUUAAUCCAAAUUUACCACACAUAGGUAAUUAUUGUGAAACAUUUUGGUCACAAGAAACCAAAAAAAGCAAGCCAAAUCAAGGAAUUGGGAAAAAAAAAGAAACAGUUGUUCAGGUAUAUUGCGGAGGCCGCCCUUGUUUGGUCUCUAAAACCCUCCUAAUACCCCUUUCUUCUUCCACCACGAUCAACACACAGUGAGUGAGCUUCACAAAUCUCAGAAAAUGGUGAACAAACCAUGGAAGAUCAUCCCCCGGCCUUUGCUAGAAACCGUGCUCAACAACCACGCCCAGCACCACCGCGUCCCUCAGCCUCUGAUCCUCCACGGCCCCAGAGGCGUCGGCAAAACCACCCUCAUCCUCGAACGUAAUCACCCUUUUACUAUCUCUCUCUCUCUCUCUCUCUCUCUCUCUCUCUCUCUCUCUAGAUUCUAACACUUCGUCUUUCUUCAGGUUGCUUGGGGAGUGGAACAAAGGCCCUCACCUCACCGGCUACGUCGACUUCGCCGAGUCCAUCAAAGACCACCAUCCGCAGUUCAAUCAGUCGUUUCCAUGGGCUUCAUGGUCCAAUUGCCCCCCGCCCACUUUGCCCAAUUGCCGAACCAAGCUCGAAAACUGCCUCGAAUCCAUGGCUCACAAGGGCGUCCAGCUGGGUUCCAUCAGCUCCCAUCAAAUCUUCUCCACUCUCAGCAAAUGGCACGGUCUUAACACCGCCCUUCGUCGCGUUAUUGCCGGCAAUGGUGCUUCCAAGAAUGCGGUUUCUGAGAAAGUUUCCGGGUCGGUUUUGUGGGAUCGGGCGGUGUUCGCGCUAAGUGCUCGAUGUAAUGCCCAAGAGAUUGAUGGGAUUUUGGGUUUGACUGAGAAGAAGAAGAAUGUACCGUUGGAAGAGGCUUCGUAUUAUAGGGAGGCCGUUGUGGCAUUGAGAUUGGCAAAGGAGGUGAUUAAGCAGCAGCAAAGUUGGAGGGCUAAUGCCAUUGCACAUUUGAAUCGGACCGGUGGGUUUUCGAGGUCUUUGGCAAAUUCUAGUACUGAUUGGCCUUGUUUGUUGUUGGAGUUGUUGUCACAAGCAGCUGAAAUUGAUCAUUUCCAGGUAAUAAAGUUCACAUUUUUCGGUAGUGGAAUUAAUCGUAAGCUAUGUUCAGCAUACAAGGCUUUGUUCUUAAGUUCUAAUCAUGCUUCAAAUUAGGUGUGUAAAUUUGAGGACUUUGAUUAGUGUUUUGUGUUUAUAUGAAUCUCCAAUUGACUGACGGUUGUUAUUAUAUGGAGCAGCCUAAGCUGGUUAUUAACAAUGUCGAAGUUUUAAAGAAUGCGAUUCUGUUGGAUGAGAAUUCAUCAGUCUGUGGAUCCAUGUACCAUGACAGUCUAAUAUGGGAGAAUAAUUGCUUUAGGUGCAAAUGAGAGAUGCUUUCCUGUUGUACUCGUGACAUCGGAUAGGUGAGAAUCAUUCCUAGCCAUUUGUGUUUCUUUAACAUCAUAUCACUUGUACAGUUUUAUGUCACAAGUUGAUAAUUAACCUUUUAAACUUCUGCAACUGCCCACUUUUCAAGUUAUUUUCUUGCUUGUUUGAAUUCUAAUUUAUGUUGCUUUGUUUCAGUUACUAUUCAUAUCAAGCUUACAUGGAUUUUGGAUUUCCGGACAUAUUCAUCUCUCGUGAGGUAUUUAAACUGAGACUCUACAUGUGUUUGCAUUUGCCUUUACUUCAUUGACCAAAAGGAACAAACACUAGUUAUUCUUUUCUGCUGUUGACAUACUAAUACCUUAAGCGUGAAGCAUGAAGCAUGGGAACAUUUGUUGAGUGACUUGCAUUGUGUUCAAUUCCUUAUUUUUUGGGACGUGGUCUUCUAGAUUUGAGUUUUUGUUUUUUAAAUUGUAUCUGCUACAUUUUGUGCGUGGGUAUGAGUCCGUAGUGUGUUCUUGCCUUGUAUGAGCUUAUCGUGUGACUGUUCCUCUCACAACCCAUUGAAAAUGUUGAGCCCCCUGCCAGGCACGACACAACUUAGACUGUCAUGUCAUUGCGGGGCCUGUUCUAGAAGUGUCAUAUUCAUGUUCGGAAUAUUGUGAGGAUACUGGGGGUUAUCAUGGGUUUAAACUUGGUUUGUUCUGCAGGCUUUUGGCUGGAGUCCCCAGGAAGCUAAGUUGCAUAUGGUUAAUGAUUAUUUCAGUAAUUCAGAGGUAAUACGCUUCUCUAAUUUUGAAUAAACAUACUUUGAAGUACAGUAAAAUUGGGCAGUGGCAAAUUAAAAUCCAUAGGGUUUCCUACUAAUUCUGAAAUUAGGUCCAUCAGAUUUCCUAAUGAUUCUUCAUUUUCUUGCCAUAUUUGUUUUCUUUAUAUCACAAAAUGCUGGACAUUUUCAUGACCUUUAGCAUUAUUUUUGUCAAAAUUCAGUGGUCGGUGAUUGCUGAGGUGUUUGGCCCAAACCCACGACACCUAUUUGAGCUCUAUGCACUCAAGCAGGCCAAUUACUAUCAACAGUAAGGCUGAUAUUUAUAUUUGUUUUUUACCAUAUCAUAUCAUGUAGAUAUAUGCCACAUGUACUAGAAGCUGAAUACGUAAGUGAUGUGCAUCACGUCUUAGAUAUAACUUCAACUAUGUUAUCUGCGGAUACCUCUUUCAUCUUUGACACACAUUUUCAUCAGUCACAGUUGAAAUCAAGUAAUAUAACUUUGUCAUAAAAAGGGAAGUGUAAGGGCAAAGGCAAUAUCUAUGUCUACUUCACCAAUCAACCUGUCCCUAAUUUUUCCAAGAUUGAUGCUACAUGGUUAAUGACUACUAUAUUUGUAUAUAGUUUUAAAUAGUACAUAAAUACCGUUUUUGUUCAUCUGAAGGUUAGAAGACAACAAAGAUAGCACGUUUGAAGACAUUGUGGAUUCAUAUUUAGCUUAUUUGCAAGUAAGUUUUUUUGGAGCAUGAUGCAUCAUACUCAUUGUCCUUGUAAUUUCAUGAACCUUUGUUGUCCUAUUUACAUUUUGGUUCAUUGAUAAGUGUAUGGAAGUCUCAUGAUAUAUUACUUGCAAAUUCACCUUGUUGGAAUUUCGGUUCACUUCAUCAUAUUCUUGAUUUCCUGGACUAAUGUACGCACUAACCUGGCCUGUUAACAACUGUGGUUUAUUGUGCACCUUGUGCUGCCUUACUUGCUAUUCAAGUCUAUUCAUUUAGAUUACUGUAGUGAAUCCGGCCAUGGACAAAGCUCUGGGGCUCCUUCAAAAGUUUGCUGCUGAUGCACGAAGUGGAAAAAUUUCAAAAGAUAGACUACGCUUUGGGGCACCUUGGAGACAUCCUCCACCUAAAAAUAAUCCCACCAUGUGCCUUGAAUGGGCAAAGAUUCAGCUGAUGGAUUUUGUGCAGUCUCUAAUCAAUACAGAAUUUGGAGUACGUAGUCCAUGGUUUCUUGUUUUAUUUAUGUCUUGGUAGAACUACUAGUUAUGCGCAGUAAAAAUUUGUGUUAACCAUUUGCUAUGUGCUGGGUGCACUCAUAUUUCUUAUGGCUUAGACUUCAUUUCUCAGAUCUAUAAUACUGUUUUCAAGAACUUUUUACUUGGGUGCAGAUUAAUUAUCUAGCUGACUGUAGCCUUGAGAUCAUGGACGAUCCUUCUGCUGGUGCAUUGGUGGAGGUAGAUACGUCUCUUCAAUUUCAUUCAUUUGCAGACAGAUAAGCAUUGCAAUAUUAAUAUUUAGCUCAUGCAUUUCUUAUCAUUUCUUAGGUUGGUUUGCUGUAUGCUCAACGGGAUCCGUCCAUCAUUCGCCCCAUAUCUAGAGGCAUUCAGCGGUGUAUUGUAAGAUGGUAAGCUAUUUUUCUUGGACUGAAGGUACAAGAACAUGAUCAUGAAGCUCUGUCUGGUCAGUUAUGCAGUUAUUUGAUUUCAGGCUUGUCCAAGAACGGAUGCAGAUGAGUUUCCCUAAGUUUCUACAAUAUAAAUGGCAGCGUAUUAUGCGCGGUCGGAGCUAUCGCCAUUUGAUGCUACAAGUAGGCUAUAAGUAGAGCAUAAGAGAGGUAAACGGUCUAAAUACUAAAAUUGUUGUUUAUUCAAAUUCCGUGUCAUGGUAAAUUUUAGUUUGUCAGCUUUACUACUCAAGGAGAUGAGCAUAACAAGAUUAUCUGAUUGACUUUUUCGGCUGUCUCUAGGCAAACACACCUUUUAAUUUGGGAGUAGCCCCUGCUUCGGGUUCGCAUAAAUAUGUAAGUAAUUCCUGAUAGGCAGCACAACCACACUUAUACACAGGCAGCACCAUUUGUUAAACAUCGUUGUAGUUAAGCAUAGUUUUCUGCAUUGUAAUCCCUUUGCAUAGUCCUGCUGUAAUACAUUCCUCUAUAGUUAUAUACCUCCAUUUCCGGGAUUCUUUUGCUUCUUUCGAUUCCCCUUUGACAACAAACACAUUGAGACUUUGUUUUUCCCAAGUUUUUACAGAGCGCGGACACUGGUAAAAUCUUCAAAAGCUGAUUUCAAGGAAAGUUGGUGUCUAGUAAGAAUCUCUUUCUCAUGCUAAUCACAACUAUUUCUAUGUCACUAUGAUUGAAUAAUGAAAACAAGUCUAAAUGUAAUGAAUGCACUCAUUUGGAAGUGCUUUAAAAUGGCUGAAAGCGGUUUUGGUGAAAAAGUUUUUGGAACCAAUCCUCAGUAAAAACGCAAGUGAAUCCUGAAAAAACACUUGAAGUGCUUUUGGAACCCAAAAACAAUUUCUUUUAAAGCGCUUUUAGUUGUUUUAAAAGCAUUUCCAAAUGAGCCCUUAGGCUUUGUUAGCAUAAAACAUGGCAUAGUCAUUCGUUUGCUUGUCUCUCUUUCGCAAUUCCGUGUCAGCAUAACCAUAACUCUAAGCUUCUUCAUGUGCAGGAUAUGCUAUGGAGCAACCCUUUGUCAAAGAUUUAAUUUUUGAAGACUACCAACAGAAAAUUUUGAUAUUUGGAGAUGCGUAGAGCAUAGCUUGAAGUGGAGUAUACGGACCAGCAUUCUCAUGAUUCAUAUUUUUUCAACACAAAUUAAAUAGCAAAGAAUAGAUAGAGCUCCAAUGUAUGUUUUAUGUCACACAUUCAUGAGGAAAUUGGUUCUAGUUUUUUAUCGAACUCAUCAUUUACGAGAUUCGAUCACUUACAAGUGAAGAAGAUGUCACUAGAUCGUACUACUAAGUAACAAUGCAAUAAUUUAUCCUUCUAUCUAUUCAAUGCUUUGGUCCAAAACAACAAGGUCCAACAUCUUGUCAGCUCAUUGAGUUUUGACCAACGUAGAGACUAACUCAUUAAACCCUCAUUUUGUAUGGGCUUACAUUUACGAGAAGUUCUUUGGUGCGGUCGCCUCAGAACAAUUGUAAGGGGGUGAGACCUCAGACCCUAGUUGACGAGGUCUCGCUCCCUGCUAAAUGUGCUACCUACCGAGGCAGCCUCAGCUCAAAAUUUCUCUUCAUUUACACUUUGGCUAAGAUUUCAUUUCUUUUAUUUAUCUCGUCACCAAAAUAAAUCUUUAUACUAAAAUCAAAUUUCAAUUUUACGUGUACAUGGGCUCAAGAUCAAAUUAAUGCAUAAUUUAUUUUUUUUUUGAAAAUUUUAUUUGAACCUAUUUACCUUGUCUCUACACUUAACUUAACAACUUAUUUAGUAAAAUUCCAACUUUGCCUGAAAUAAAUUAAAAAAAAUUAACAAUUAGAACUUGUAGAUGGCUUCCUCAACCAUCGGGGAAACCACAAAGGAGUGGUGGUUUUCACGCUACCCACCAAAACAAGACACUCUACCCACCAAAACAAGACACUCUACUUUUUCCUGGUGAACACAAUCGAAGCUCCGACGAAUUCAAUCAGUCCUCUCAUCUCUCUCUGUGCGAACUUGGAUCAAAUCAAUCGGGAAAGAGAGAGGUGGAUGUGAAUCUCUAUAUAUGAGAGGGCAAAAAUGGUGAAUCAUUCAUAAUACCAAAUUUUGCACUUUCUUUAACCAGUUUUCCAAAAUAUUAAAAUUGAUUAGUUAGGGUAAAAAUUGAUUAGUGUGUGGUUACUGUCAUUUGUUAUUUUUAAUAUUUUAAUAAAAAAAUAGAUCCAACAAAAAAAAAGAGAUUUAUUUUUUAUAACAUAAAAGGUCAAUUGACACAUGUAUAAGUGUGUGCAAAGAGGCUAGUUGGUGUUAAAAGGAGAAAGGUACAUAGCCAUGUUCGAUGCCGAUGCCUACAACCGCCAGAGUAUAGUGCUUUAUUUUCUUCUUAAGGUCAGAAAAGGAAGGAGGAGAAACGUAAGGAAAAGAAUCGAAGGAGCUAACAAUUGUCGACGACCACGGGGAAUAUUUUUGCCGAUGUUUGGUUUUGGUUCGCCCGAAAUAAUGAAAAGGUGCAAUUGUGUGGUGGUUUUAGGUUCUUGGAUGUGUAGGGAGAAAAACACCCGUCUUUAUUUACUUUUUCUCAUUUAUUAAGGGCAAAAUUGAGAGGUUAGUAGAGAAAAUUGUUUAGUUGCAUGUAGAGAAAAAAUAAAUGGGUCUAAAUAAUUUUUUUUAAGACAAUAUAAGUUCAAAUUAAGAACUAUUGCAUGAGGAAAAUUACUAGACCAAACACAAAGCUGAUUAUAAUUUUGUUCUAACAUAGCGAAAGUAUGUUAUAUGUAGCUUCUCGAAAAAUAUCGUUAUUAACGCAUAGAGUUGUUUGUAUGUUAAAACUUCAUGGAAAGAUUUUAGAAUCUCAUUCAACAUAUUCCAUCUUGAAAUUUGAUUAUGGAAAACGUGACCUUAUUACCAGUCAUAUGUUUGAUUAAAUCUUGAAGAAAAUUCACCAAGGUUUACAAAUCAAAUAUUGUUCAUCUAACUCCACCCACAUUGUGAAUCAAUCUCCAUCGUCCAUUCCCAAGUUCAAACUUUCUUGGCGCAUGGGAACUGUUUGGUCCCUCCUAAAAUUGAACCUUAUUUUGUCCCCAUAAUGAUCCGUGACCAUUGGCUAACUAGUCACACAUCAAAACCACGACCCAAAAGAGUCAAAGUCAUUUGCUUUAUUUGAUUCUGUCUCAAAAUACGUCAAUUCAAAUACUUAACAUGUCACACGAAGUUUGCAGGAAAGCUCCCCAAGAAUAUAUUCGACAUUUCUGUGCUUGUCACGUAAACUAAUGAUCAUUUUAACAAAUUGGAAUUGAAAGAAUUGGGGCAGAUACAUUGCAGACAGCCACCUUUCCUUCUUUGUGACUAGACAGAUAUCGAUCUAAUCAAAUCUAUGCUUUAUGAACCUCACCACAGAAAAAUUUCCAGUCUUUGUAAGUUGACCAGCUUCUAUAUGCAAUGCUUGCUUCUUUUUCAUUACAUAUGCCCCGAUGAUAUCAAUAUGUUCAACGAAAGCCAUAUAUAAUUUGGCUUCUUACAUCCACAUCUUUCACCUUUUAUCCACGAUCUUGCACCUUUUCUCUCUUUUUUUUAGCCAAUUAAAGAAAAAUCAAAUAUUACAUAACUAAACAGACGAGGGCAAAAGGUCAAAUACUUUUCUUAAUGUAAUUCACCAUGUGAUUAAACUAUUAUUAUCAUAGAUAGGGAAGAUAGUCUACACAAAUCAGUUAGUAUGCCACGAUUGCAGUCAUGGUUAAUACUCAAUACCCUAGUUGGUCAAAAUUCAAUAGUCAAAGCCACCCAUUAUUUUUCCGUUUUUUCCCUUUUCUUAACCACUAACAAACCAGAAGAACAUAUAUUAUAUAAGUAUAUAGCCAAUAGCCACCCAUGCAUAUAUGAAAUACUAGUACAAAUAAAUAGAAAAAUUGACUAUUAUUGAUAUCACAUGUAUCACAUUGAUGGUAUAUAUUAUUGACAUCACAUGCUCUCACGAACCCUAGAAUUUGUUAAGUAUGAUAACUAGCCCUUCGUAUUAGAAAAUGUUCUUGUACAAUGAAUUUUCCUUGGUUGAUGCAACAUAAGUUACGUAUGUAGGUGCAGGGGCAUAGUUAAAAAGUUAGAUUAUCUGGGGCACAACUAAGCAGUGGUCGAUGUAGAUUCUCGUAGAACCCCAAAAGCAGCAGGCAAAGUGCCAAAAACUUUUUAAGUUCUUUUAAGUGAGACAUUUUAUCGAAAACUUGUAUAACCAGUACUCAUUGUAUACUUAACGUACAUCCCCAUCCUUUUUUGCCAUUUUAAUUGUAUCAAUAGAUCAAUAUUGGUAUAGUCCACAAAGAGAUAAAUCAUAUAGACUUUACUCCAAUUUCUUCUUUAUGGACUAUAACACUAUUGAUCUAAAGAUAUAAUUAAAAUGGCAAAAAGGAUUAGGACCGAGUGAUACAAUUUGUGGUGGUGGUGAGUUUAUUAUUAUUCACCAUAAUUCGACUCGACGUCAUACCAAGCACGGAAGGAAUCUGCAAUUUAACAGGGCUCCUGCUCAAACCGCUUUUUAAGGACAAAAACACAAGUGGGGCACGUGCCCCGCUGUGGCCCUUAUUAAGAUUUCCCACAUUUGAUCGCUAUGGAGCUGAUAACCUUUUCGUUUAUUUGCUGCAACACGCAAGUUUUGUAGAGAUUUCCCAACGUGAUCACGUUCAUAGCUCAUGUGAGAGAGUCAGAUAUACAAAUUUAAAGAAUUGAAAGUGAGAAGAGAGUGAAAAUUUGAGACCUCUUCUAACACCGAAAAGAAAAGCAUUGGUAAGUUUCACGAAGAAGAGGAAGACGUGACUAAACAGAGAAUGGCUAAUUAGGUCAAGCAAAACUACUGCGUAGGGAAAGAGUUUAGCGUGAUUGAGUGUGAUAUGGCGUGACCUUCGGGUUCGAGUUUUUUCGUACAUUAAUUUACCAGUUAAUAGUCAAUAGUCAUAGUUUUGAACCAGGAAUAAGAUUCCCAAAAUUUCUUACUCCAUUUCCAAAUGACAUAAUUAGGUUCAAGUUCAAGUCUGAAACGUCUACUUUUAAACUAGCUAGCUAAUUAAAAUUUAAAUCCCAGAAAAAUAGAACUCAAACUUACAGGAGCAGAUUAAAGAAUGAAAGUGAGAAAAAAAAUUACAUAGGUGUCGAGAAUGCUAAAUAAAAUAAGAAUAACCCUAAGAAAAUAGCACCGUUGCAAUUACUUCUUUGUUAUCGAUCAUCUUGAUAUGUUAUCGAUGCUCUAGUUAACAUAAAUUGAGUAUACAUAUGUUAUCGAUACUAUUUGAUAAUAACACUACAAGAAAAGUUUUUAAUAAUUACUAACAUUAGUUGUACAAAAUGAAAUUACUAAAGCAUUUAGGGGUGGAUAAGCCUUUACCAUAAUAAUACUGUGUAUACGUUGUCAAUUUUCCGUAAAUUUUUUUGCCACUAAAAUGAUUAAUGGUCCAAAUGCAAGAUGCGAUAUCUUCUCCAUACAUGUCCACGUUUUGGUUUAGCUCUUAGGAUCUGUCCCCAUCCUAUUGCAAAUUUUUACAUGAAUUAAAAGAAAUCCAAUAAGUUGAAAAAUCUCAUUCCACAAGUAGAAGCUUUCAAAUUAAUUUCAGUGGACAGGACCUGCAGAAGAUGCACAAAGAACUCACGAACAAUGUGGUGGGAUAGGAGCCACAUUUUUCAUCAAUUAAUCGAUCAUAUCACUUGCUGUUGCCACCAAUUAUCAAUAUGCAUGGCAUGUGCAAUGCUUUCCAAACGGGCUUGUUUUGUUGUAUCCGAAUGCGGUUUGACGCAAAACAUUACUUUAUCCCAUUGAGUGCCAUAGCAUUUACCGACCAUUCACGUAGGAUUGCUUCCCAUAAACUAAUACUUUGAUUACUUUACACUUUAUAAAAGUAGUAAGAGAUAAUAUUAUAUUUGGAUGGUACCAUGAUCAUGGGUGCAUUGGAUUGUGAAGGGAGCCUAAUUAAAGGGACUUCCCAAGCUUACAAGGAUCACUCAAUCUGUCUUCCACUAGCUAUAUACCUACUAAGUUUACUUAUAAAAAAAAACACAUCGAGUGAUGAAAAAACCAAAAGAAAAAAGAAGCUAUAAAUUUAUAUUUAAAACCGGUGUCAAAGUUGCUUUAGAAACUCAAUUUUAUAGAAGACGUAUUGAAUAAAAAAUUUACCUCAGAGCCAUGCAUGACAGAUUAUGGUUAAUAUCAUGUCUCGUAUCCUCACCUCAACUGACUAGCACUUUCUCAUUUCUAUAUUUAAAGCUAGAGAGUCUCAAAGUUAAUUAACUUUGAUGUGAUAAAUUGAAGGUUACAUUAUCUAAUGGUUUCAUGCAAGAUUGGCAGAAUUUGAUUGGCCGCUGAGGUCAGAUCAGGUGAAUACUAUUAUAUGCUUUGGAGGUAUGGGACUGACUCAACCUGUUGUAACUUGUAAUAUCUGAUCUACCUGAGGAGGAUGUCUUCUUGUCAUGUACAGUGUAGUUUAUUUAUCACUUUAUUGAAUGAAAUUUAUGCAGUUUCCUAAAAAAAAAAAUUAUAGUAUUCUGUUGAGUAUAACCCAAAGAGAGAACAAGAAGGGAAAUAUUUUUCUUUUAUUGGCUCUUCUUAGUAUGCAUAGUAAAGUUUUGGGUAAAUUACACAAAACUACUUUAAUUAUGGGUUGAACGACACUAUCAUGCCUUAUCUUUCAAAAUUGACAAUGUCAUACCUCAUCUUUAGAAUUUGUUCAAUGUUAUACCUCUGUUAGCUUGUCUGUGAAUUUCUCAGUUAAAUGCUGACGUAGUUUGAUCCAGGGCCCAGUUCCUUGCCCAGAUGAAUUCCACGUGGCACCACACCUAAUGUUUUCCUGCUAAAAUGGCAUCCACGUUAGAAAAUAUAUUUGAUUUUUUUGUUUGUUGGUAAUUUGAAUUUCAAAAUUUGAAAUUUGAAAUUCACUUUCCCGCCAAAAUGUGAGAAAAAGGUCAGGAACCAUUUUAAGCACAGACUAUCAUCCUUGACCUCAAAUUUGAAAAAUCUCACCCAAAAAUAAUGAUAUAACCACAACAAAACAAGUAUAUUCAAGCACAAACUACUCAUCAUUUCCGAAGAAAAAUAUGAAAUAGACCAAAUUAUGCAUAAAACCUGCUUAAUUAUCCAUAAAUUAAUAAACCUGUUAAAAAAACUAAUUGAAUUCAUCUAACAUCUCCAACCAACAUUACGAAACCUACUGAAUUCAUAAAAACCUACUACAUCAUCCAUUCAAUUCACAAAAGACGUACUAGAUGCAUAAAGCCUAUUCUAACUUUAGAAUUCCUUUACAAAAAACAAUCAUCUGUGCAAAAAACUGUUGGCUGGAUUGGUUGGUAUUUAUGUGCUUGGUGCCUUUGGAUGAUUCAUUUAUUGGUUUGCUUGGUCUUUAUAUGCUUGGUGCUUCUAGGUGAUUUAGCUACUGAUUGUGAAGCCUAAAUCCAAAGUUCAUUAAGAGACAAAGCAAGCUUUUAACUAAAUCCAAAUGUUUUACAACUAAGGAAAUGGUUAAGUUUUUACCUGUGUUUUCCUUGUCCUCUUUUUAGGUGUAGAUGUGGAUGGUGAUUGUCCUUGUGAGCAGAUAUGGAUGCCUACAAAGCAAUUUAAAGGAUUAAGAGUCUGAUAUGAUGUUAAAGGAUUUAAAAAACCACAUAAAGUAGAAAAUGUUACCUGUUUGUCCUUUGGAUGAAGAUGUCUAUCAUGGGUUCUUGCAUUAUGACAUUCCUUUUUGCAUAUGGUACAUUUCAAACUACCUUACCCUUUCCUUCCUAGCUUAAGUGGCUGAGGAGGACCUUGAAGAUUAUUGGUUGGGUUUGUGAGAGUUUGUUCACCCUCAUUGUCCUUCUCAGCAGCUUCCUUGUUUCUUCUCCUCCUCAGCCUUCCAGGUUGCCUUGUAUAUGUAUGAGGCAAUAUUAGUGGGUUUUCAGUUUCCUCCCACAAAGACAUCCCAUUCAUCAACAUUACUAAAUGAGAAUACACCUCCAAGUACCGUGCCUUCGAAUAAUAAGCAUCGACAUAGUCCAUCGGUUUUUUUUUCUUGAAAUUUAUGGCCGCUAUUGCAUGGUUGCAUGGGAUUCGUGUCAAGCCAUACUUUCUGCAAGAACAUGUUUUCUUAACCAAGUCAACCACAUAUUGCUUCCCCUUUCCAACAUCUAGGGGUGGGCACUUAGAACCGAAAACCGAAACAGAAACACGAACCAAAUCGAACCGCACCGAACGGUUUGGUUUUGCGGUUUUGAAACGGUUUCGGUUUUGAAACCAAACUGCAACAUAGAAAACGGUUUGGUUUUGGUUUUGGCUUUUGAAAACCGCACCGAAACUAAACCACACCGCAAAUAUUAAUAAACAUUUAAUUAAAUGUCCAUAUUAUAUUUCAUGUUUUAAUUGGUUGUUUGUUAGAAUCCAUACACUUAGUAUGAGACUCAACCACACUAGAAUAUCAUCAUUCAUCACUUUCUUUCGUUCAUUAACUUGAAGGACCUUUAUUAUUUUAUACCAUCACACACACAUAUAUGUACAAGGGUGGACUAAUCUUGUUAUCAAGAGUUGAACAAUGAUCUAAUGAAGUCCACUUAUUUGAAGCAUGAUAUCACAUAUUCUAGUAUCAAAGUUUCGCUCACGUUUAAUGAAUUCAAAUUUAUUCAACUUGUUUUAUGAUAAACAUGGUGAGGGACACCCUUUUGUUGCACAAACAUGUUUUAACAUCACAACUGCAUGCAACAUGUUAAUUGUUUACAUAACAAAUGUCUUUUUCUUAUUGCUAUUGGGAAAUGCUUAUUAAUAUGUUAAAUUGCAAAUUGUACAUUUUUUCUUAAAAACCAAACCGAAACCAUUUGAAACCGCACCGAACCGAACCAAACGGUUUGGUUUCAUUUUGGUUUUGGCUUCAAAACCGCACCAAACCGAACCGCAAAAAAAUUCGGUUUCGGUUUUGGUUUCACUUAAAACCGCACCAAACCAAACCGUGCCCACCCCUACCAGCAUCAACUUGAAAUUUAGCGCCCCCUAACCAUUGUGCAAUGCACCUGCCACUUUGAAUUUUGGCUUCCUCCAACUUCUUCUUGAUUUUAGGACAGAGAUCUCCAACCUUGUUCACCAUUAUAUCCCUUCUCAUCUGAAUUCUCUUCAUCAAAAGUAUGUGAAUAAGGAGUAGCAUGGUGACAAUAGGUUUUUGUCUUGGCACAAGUAUGACAACAUUGAAACUUUCACAGAGAUUAUUCAGCAACAUGUCACACUUGAGAUAUGUUUCAAAAUGGGACUUGCUCCAAUGAUGUGCAGGCUUCUUCACCAACCAAUUGUAGGCCUUUUCAUCUGGCUUCUUCAUAUCCUCCAUUGCCUUUUGAAGCGGGGAACUGUUGUUGUUCUGACCAUUGACCAUAAAGCAUCCUUCAAAGUUUUCCCCUUGAACAUAUUUCUGAAGUUGGUAUACAAAUGUUUCACACAAAAUCUGUGGUGGGAAUUCGGGAGGACUUUUUUAAAGGCUGGAAUUAACCCCUUUUGUUGAUCACUAAAUGUCCAUCCCUGUUGAUUGACAAAUCCCAACAUUAACGGCCGGUAACUCUAAGAACCAAAUCCAAUUAGAUUUAUUCUCAAUUUCUACCACUGCAUAAGCUAUAACUCAUGUUUCAUCAUUUGGAUCAAUCCCAACAUCACAAAAUAGCUAACCUCCACGUACACUCUUUAAAUGGCACUCAUCUAAUCCUAUCAAUGGUCUGCACCCUGACUUAAACCCUUCUUUGCAAGCCCCUAAGCACACAUAUAUCCUUUGGAACCUCUGCCUAUCCAACUUCACCUUCACAGUGCUUCCAGGGUUAGUCUUCUUCACUUCCUUAGCAAAAUCCCACAACUUUGUGUAUUGCUCUGCAUGUUUUCCCUCAAUGAUCUUCAAAGCCCUAUCUAAAGCCUUGUAAGCCUUCCUCUUUGUACAACCAUGAUUCCACUCUGAUUCGACAGUUGCUAAAAAGAAAUCCACAUGCUAUGUGGGAUUAAGUUUUAUCCUGUCCAUGUACAAAUCCGUCAGCAAAGAGGACUUCAAGUUCUUGUUUGCCCAAGUUCUCCCACAGGUUUGUUCAUCAAAUAUGGUAUUGAUUCGUAUGCUGUUUGAACUAUACAUUUUUCCAACACAACACUUCCAAGGGCAGCCUUUUGCACACUUUACUAUGACUUUCAACUUCUCAUUCCUAAGAAAGUGGAUUUCCCCAUAUCCAUUCACUAGGGAGUACAUGAUAACAGCUCGCUUGAAUUGCACAUGAUCCUUGAAAACAAGCCCUAGUGUAAGAGUGGGAUUUUUCAUGUUUGUUUUCUGAUUGAACUAUGGAAAACACUUAUGUUUUUUUGCGUCCUUCAUCAUCUAAAGAGUGUACACUCUUAAGGGCAUCAGAGUUAUAGUCUGAAUCAUCAACCACAUUUUGUUCCAGAGUUGCAGUAUCAAAUUCUUCUUCCCGUUGCUCUUCUUCUUUUUCCCUAGUGUAAAGGUCAUAAGUUACCAUGAUGCAAUUUAAUAGAUAAUAGUUCUGGAUAUACUGAAAUUCACAAAAACAAACCCUAAUUAAAAGCCAACAAUAAACAAAAGAAAUUGCAUUUUAACCUAAUCAGAAGCCAACAAAAACCAAAGCACAACAUUCUUCACAAAAGAAAGCACAUGACUAAGAAAAGCCAAAUCAUACACACUAUAUGCAAUUAACCAUUUCUUGACAAGAAUAAACAAAGCAAUAAAGCAACAAACCACAACAAAUAACCUUAUCUUGACAAGAAUAAACAAAGCAACAAGGCAACAAACCACCUUAUAUCGACAAGAAUAAACAAAGCAACAAACCUAUUGCCCAACAACUCAAUAACCAUUUCGAAUUAAGAAAGCAUAAAACCACCUUUUCAAACAAGAAUAAACAAAGCUACAAACCCAUUAUCUGACACCUUAGGAACUAUUUCGAAUUAACAAAGAAUAAAUCCACCUUUUCAAACAAGAAUAAACAAAGCUACAAACCAUUUAUCCUACACCUCAGGUACAUUUCGAUUUCACAAAGCAUAAAUCCACAUUUUCAAACAAGAAUAAACAAAACCCACAUUCAACCUAUUCCAAUAAAUAAGUUCAGUAUGCAUUUGGAAUCAUCAAAAGCACAAAAAAAACUUACAAUAGGUAGGCAUCGUUUCGUCAGGAUCCUCGUGCACGUACCACCCCAUGUCGAACCCUUCGAUUUUUCUUCGAAGCUAAUGGAACUCAGAUGAAACCCCUUCCAACACCAACAAAGUCAGGGAAGUGAGUCGACAAGAUGAUUUGGGUUUUUCGUUGAAUUUCUAAUCUGAUUGUUCGAGAUUUGGAGUUGCUGGUAUGAGAACUAGGGUUAGGGUUCUUCUUUUUCUGGAAUUGGGAAUGAAAUUAGAUCGACAAGGUUUGGGUGUACCGGGGGGAAAACCAAUUCGAAUGGCACACUUUACAACGUACCCUUACUUUUUAAAUUUUAAUGGAAUAUCCACGUGUCAUCCGAUGAGAAAGCCACGUGUAUUGGGAAUGUUAGAUGGAUACCAUUUGUCGAGAAAACAUUGGGUGUGGUGCCACGUGGAAUCCAUUUGGGCAAGGAACUGGGCCCCGGAUAAAUCAACGUCAGCAUUUAACUGAGAAAUUCACGGACAAACUAACAGAGGUAUAACAUUGGAACAAAUUCUAAAGAUGAGGUAUGAUAUUGUAAAAUUUAAAAGAUGAGAUAUGAUAGUGUCGUGCGACUAAUAGUUGAGGUAGUUUUUUGUCAUUUACCCUAAAGUUUUUCGUAUUCACAUUCUGUAGUCCCCUACAACAUGAACGAAAAUUAUCUACUUUGUUUGAUUUCUAUAAAAAAAAUAAAUGAUUGUCUUAAUCAUGUAGUAGGUUUUUACAGAGUUUUUUUUUAAUUUUUUUAUAACUUUUAUUUGUAUACUAUUAGUUUUUUUUUUCUUUCAAAACUUCUUUUAAUAGUUUAAAACACUUAAAUUCUCGAUUUGAAGAAAAGCACUCCUAAAUCAAAUUGUUAUAUUGUAUACUAAACUAUUAUUGCAUUACAGGUUCAAUUUUUACCAAGGAAGAAUUUGAACUAUAUUAUUACUAGUUCAUUGUAAGGCUUAACCCACUCCCCCAUCAUUUUAGUGUAAAUAAUAUAGUUUGUUCAGAAAAAAAAAUUCUUUGAAUAUUUUUCACUAACAUUAUCAUCAAUUGUCCAAGUGCUUACAUUUAGUAUUUUUUAAUUUAUUUAUAUAGCUUUAAUUUAGAUUAGAAUAAGAAGUUCACUUUUAGUAUCUAUGGGAAAAAGGGGUUGAAAACAAAACAUGACCGCGUGCAAUAGAAUCGCAUUCAGUGUUGUCUUAUUAUUAGUCCAUAUUUUGCAAAACGCUAAAGAUUUUAUUUAUUUAUUUAUUUUUGGAACCAAAAAAAGCUUAAGAUUUUACAAACAAAAGAAAAGAAAAAGUGGAGAGAGAAACCCCAAGGAAUUGGUAUUUAAUUUGCACUUUGAUUCAUCUUUAAAUCAAACUCAUCAAUUUUCUUAGUUCAAUGAUGAGGCGAAAGUUUUCGACGUCAAAAUUCUAAUGAAGAAUAACGUGAACUAAAUCUAGUGGUUUUCUCCCCAAGAUUCGUCCAAAAGCAAGUAACUGACAUAAUUAAUUAACAACAUUAAUAUACAAUCGAUUAUCCUUGUAGACCUCUUGCCCUUUUCUCAUCAUGGGCGGAUGAAUUAUGAGGAAUGAUCUGUAAUGUCCUUAUGUCAUUGAGGAGGUGGAUUUGAACAAGGAAUAUUAAUUACAAAAUAUUUUUUUUUAUUAUUAAUUAACCAUUUAAGUUAGAAUAUCUUCAAAUGAGAUGUCAAGUUUUAAACAUAAAAUUUAAAUUUGAAAGCUUAUGUGGCACGUUGAUCUUUGUUAAAAUUUUGUUUCACAGCAACCAUAUUUGCUGGCAAUUAACGUCAUGCCACAUAAGAAUUGACAUUUUAGUUGGAAAACCAUCAUGUUGUCUUUUUACUGGUGUUUCUAAUAUGGAUUUUUUAACAUCUUCUUUGGAGGUGCUUUUAUAAGUUUAUAUAUUCAAAUAUGUCUCUAGGUCACACAAUCGUUGCGCAAAAAUAAUAGAAGAAAGUAUGAAGAAUAUAAUGCUGGUGUAUAUUGCAGGUGUGUUGGUGGAGUAGCCUUUUAAAGGCAUCGAAGAUCAUAUGUAAUUUCCUCAAAUUAAAUCAAAAUUUAAUCCAUUAAAUCUGAAGAUAAAACCUGAUAAAUGAAUAUAAUUUUUUAAAAAGGCUUAUUAUAUUGACAUCCAACAAAUUGUUGAAUAAACCUCACAUACUUAAUACACCCCACAUUUGCUUUUUGAAUGAAAACUUAUCUUAAUACACCCCACUUACUUCCCCAUAAUACCCUCACACCUCACAUUCUCAAUAUACACCUUGCAUUUUCUACAUACACCCCGUAUGUUCUAUAUACCCCACAUUUCUCAAAUCUUAUAAAGCUUUUAAUUUGGACAAAAAAUGCCGACUGAAAUUUUGACAAAAUAUGCCCCCUCGGAUUUAAAGCAUAUGUGGGUUGUUUUCAAUUCCACCAUUAAAAUUCAUGUCAUCUGUUUUUAAUAUUUGGUGGUAAUUUUAGAUGUUUAAUUCUUCAUGUAAUCCCUGUGAUCACUAGAAGAUGAAUACGAACAUAGAAACUUGAAUAAUGCAGCAAAAGCAAGAUUAAAUAAUUAUCGAUGUCACUAAAACAAUAAAAAUAUGAAGUCUUACCUCAUUUGAAGCUUCCGAAAAAUCGAUUUCGUGUUUCAUUCGUCAAAAAUAACUUCUCAAUCAACAUGUUCGUAGUUUCAUUGGUUAGAGUUUUGUUCAACAAUGGAGGGUUGGAGAGAUUUUGAUAGGUGAAGAAGAUACAUAAUACGUUAAAAAUGAUUUGGGGUGUAUUUAGAAUUUUUUUUAAACCUAAUAAUGUCAAAAUUAUCAUUGCAUAGUAGGAUAAAUAAAUCAUUUAAUAUUAAAUUUUAAUGUGAGAUGCAUUCAACAUUUUGUGGGAUGCUAAUAUAAAAAGCCUUUUAAGAAUUUAUGGGAGGAAUCUAACAUAUCUUUAUCGUAUACAUUUCAUAAUGAAAACUGUUAUUUUAUUAUUUGAAGGUCAUCCUUAUAUAUAUAUAUAUCAUUUGAUUUUGAGAUUAUUUAGUCAUCUAAAUGUAUCAAAUAAAUAGACAGUUCAUCACGAAUAUUUACUUAGCAUUCACACCGUUGAUUUGUUCCACACGUUUGAAUGAUUAAAUGAUCUCUAAUUAGAAUAAUUUUGUACAAAGAUGAUUUCCAAAUGAAAAUUAAAAAAUUGAAUGAUUCCGAUUAUAAAAUGAAUAAUGCUUGUGUUCCCUCAAUAAAAAACCUACUUACACAUUUUUACCAUACAAACAUUAUGGAAACCUGCUUAACAGACUCUAUCCGAUUUCAUAGUUAAUGCAGGAUAUAUAUUAGAUUGGCAUAUUAUUAUUUUUAAAAGUUAAAACUAUACGAUCCAAGAAAAUUCUAUUAGAUUUCGAUGCUAACUUAAGCAUGGAAGCAGCCCACGUGAAUGCAUGACGUCCGUCAGUAGAUUUGGUUUGUUAAAUAUUGGUUGUUGAUUUGAGGUGAGAAGUCUUCGAUUCCCAUUCUGUUUUAAACUGCUCAUGAUAUCUCCAAAUGGUAAUUAACUAAACAUUCCAAAUACGGAAACUUUUUUUUACCUGAAACACAAAGCACGUCAUUCAUAAUUUUAUAUAUUAAAAUAAUAAUAUUAAUUAAAAUAUUAAUUUUUCUAUUAUCAUUUAAAAGAAGUAAUAACACUACGUAGCUAACUUCUGAUAUAUACUGGAAAUUGCUCCACAAACACACACACACAAAAUAUCCAUGUCUUAAUAAGUAAAUAAAUCAAACUUGAAACAAUUUUGGAAAAUGCAAGAGCAACAGCUAAGCAUCUUUCCUUCCAUAUCAUUUUCAGGGCAAACUCCAAACAGAUAGGAAGUUUUGACGAAAAUAAAGAAUGAAAGUUAUAGUGGGGGCCAUCUAUGCACGCAACUGGAAACGUGGGCCAGCCAGCAACCAUGGGCGGGUUGGUCAAAGUCACUGAAAGACUCAAACAGGAGAGAGAGAAUGUUUUCUUUUACUUUUCCAUUUGGUUAGUGCAAAACGAAGACGGAGUAUUUUCGCUCAACAUCAUCAAGGGAUGAUAAUACUUAGUAUUUUGUUUAUUAUUAUUAGAUAAAUUUAAAUUUUGAAAAUUUUGUAGUAGAUAAACACGAAUGUUAAAAUUUAAACUAAUUUGAUGAUAAUAAAUAAAAUAAUGAGCAUUACUACUAUUUGAAAACGGUGAAAAUAAUGUACAAGAGAAGAUAAAGUAGAACAAAGCAAAAUGAUUGUAGCCCAUGAUUGGUCCAAACAAAGAUGGUGGGGUUACAUAGUUUAUCCUAUUUAGGAUUUUUUUUUAAAAAUCUUUUUCCUUUUAGAAUAUUAAUUUCCUUGUAAAAAUUCCUCAAGUAGAAAUUAAAUAACCUGGCCCUCCACUGUCACAAAUAUAUGCAUGUGUUUAAUUACUGCCAUGUUAUUUUGUACGUUUUGGGUCGUUGCUAGCUCUAUAAAUAGCGCGCGCACACACACCAAACUCCGCACCACAAGAACAAAUUAACCAAACACUUGUUGAGAGAGAGAGAGAGAGAGAGGAGAUAUAGUUUAGAGAGAGAAAUAGAGAAAUGGAGAACUUCCCAGUUAUCAACUUGGAGAGCCUCAAUGGUGAGGGAAGAAAAGCUACAAUGGAGAAAAUCAAAGAUGCCUGUGAGAACUGGGGUUUCUUUGAGGUAACCAUAAUUAAUUACGUUUCGUAAUUAGCUUCUUAAUUUCCAUAUGUUCAGUUCAUCUUUCUUUCUCUUAAAAAUUUCACAUUAUAAUUAACUUUUUGUGUUUUUCACAAAUACUGCAGCUGGUGAGUCAUGGGAUUCCAACUGAGUUUUUGGACACAGUGGAGAGGCUGACAAAAGAGCACUACCGGCAGUGUAUGGAGCAAAGGUUCAAGGAGUUGGUGGCCAGCAAAGGCCUUGAUGCCGUUCAGACAGAAGUCAACGAUAUGGAUUGGGAAAGCACUUUCUACUUGCGCCAUCUUCCUCAAUCCAACAUCUCUGAAGUCCCAGAUCUCAAGGAUGAGUACAGGUAUAGCAAUCACACAGUAGCACUCCCCUUUUAUCCCCUAUACUCGGGGAAGUAAAAAACGAGCGUGUGAAAAUCAUUAUCGUUACCCUGAAAUUAGUUGGUUUUCGAGUUUGAGGCAUAAUAUGCGAUUUCUGAUGAGGAAUUGUGAUGAGUAAUUUAUAUGUGCAGGAAUGUGAUGAAGGAGUUUGCAUUGAAACUGGAGAAAUUAGCAGAGCAGCUGCUGGGCUUGUUGUGUGAGAAUCUUGGACUGGAACAAGGGUACCUUACGAAGGCAUUUUAUGGAACAAAUGGACCAACUUUUGGCACCAAGGUUAGCAACUACCCUCCAUGUCCCAACAAUGACAAGAUCAAGGGUCUCCGGGCCCACACCGAUGCCGGCGGCCUCAUCUUGCUCUUCCAGGAUGACAAGGUCAGUGGCCUCCAGCUCCUCAAGGACGGAGAGUGGGUUGAUGUGCCUCCCAUGCGCCACUCCCUUGUUAUCAACCUUGGUGACCAACUUGAGGUAAUUAAAAGUUAAACCAAUUAACUCAACAACUUUGAUCUCCAGUGCGGUUAACUGCACUUCAUAAAGUUCUUCGAUUUUACUUACAUAUAUAAACAUACAACUUGAACUCCUAUAGGUGAUCACCAAUGGAAAGUACAAGAGUGUGGAGCACAGAGUGAUUGCCCAAACAGAUGGAACCAGAAUGUCAAUAGCUUCAUUCUACAACCCAAGCAGUGAUGCAGUGAUCUACCCAGCACCAACCCUAGUGGAGAAAAAGGCAGUGGAGAAGAAUCAAGUGUACCCGAAAUUCGUGUUUGAAGACUACAUGAAGCACUAUGUUGGUGUCAAGUUCCAGGCCAAGGAACCCAGAUUUGAAGCUAUGAAAGCAGUGGAAGUUAAGGCCAGUUUUGGUUUGAGUCCAGUUAAAACUACUGCUUGAGAGUGAUUAAGUAUUUAUACUAGAAGCUGCUGGAAAAAGGGUAUUUAGCUUAAAGUACGGGCGUGUGUGAAAAAAAUAUUUGGUUGAACUAGACUUCAAGAUCUCUGUCAAAAGAGACAAGUUUAUUUACUAUUAAUGUGGAAAUCGUUGUAGAAUGUAACCAAAGUCAUCACUACUUUAGUGACUUGAAGAUUUGUUGGUAAUUAAAUAAACAUUAUAUUAUCUGUUUUGCAUCGUAUUUUAUAUAGAACCAGUCAUUUUACGUUGUAGUUAACUGCAUUUGUAGAUAAUGCAUCGACAACAUAUUGAUAUUAUACGUGUUUGCAGUAUCAACGAGAUAAACGAUAGCGAAGUUAUAAAUGCAGACAUGCCAUCAACGUUUAAAAUUUAUAGUUAACCACAACGAAGAAAAAACUUUAUAUAGAACAAUACUGAAAAGAGAACGCAUGGAGCUAAGACUUAAGAGUGUAUAUCUAAUGUGCAGAUCCAUUAGCAGUAGCAUUCAAAGCCAGCUGUGCUUUAACUAAAUAGUCAGCAGAAUCUGUUAAUUUAUCACUUGUUGAUGUUUUCACCGUAGAAAAGGACUCUAAAUUCAGUGGGAAAAGGGAUGAAAGAGGCCGAGGGGAUAAGGCAGCAGCCAUGCCGACAUGGUGAACUCAAGCUAUAAAGUUUUCUAAUUAAAAGCAAGAGCAAGAUAUUUUUAAAAUCAUAAGCUACAAUAUAAAACAAUACAGGAGCUUUCAGGAUGGGAAAAAAGGGAUUGAGGUCCACUCCUUCAUCUCUAUGUCCCGGAAACGCACAGUGAGAGAUCCGAACCACUCAACUUCAAUUCUAUGGCUUCUAUUAGCACAUCUUAUUGACCCACUUCACAACAAUUUAAAAACUUGAAUGGCUCGAUCUCUUUCUCUCUCUUAAACAGUUUGAAUCUCUCAGUCCUCUGGCCACAAAGUUUUAGAGUGGAUAUCAUUCUGGAAAAAAAGUGUCACGAUUUACACUUGGUUUAUGAUUGAACAACUAAUUUAGGGUAAAGACCUUCCCAUUAGUGCCAAUCAUAUCAGGGAUUCAGAAUUGCAAUGGAAAAUAAGUGCUUUUGAAUUUAUUGAAGCCUGGAAUUGCACUACACAUUUUGAUACAUGGAGAGAAACUGUGUUCUAUAGAAUGAUAUCCUCCUAAACAACCAAUCAGUUAGAUUUGAGUUUAGUGUAAAGUUCUGCAAUUCACUGCAAAGUUCUGAAUCUUGAAGACAAGGUUAUGCAAUUCACUGCAAAGUUCUGAAUCUUUUGCAUCAUGUUCAGCAUCCUUAAUUAUAGUGGUAAACAUAUAGGUCUGUUGAACCGGUAUCAAACUAUAUGGACAAAGAUACUCAAAGGAGAUGAGUGUCUUAGUUGUAAAAAUGGUUUGGCUGUUUGUGCGUUAAACUCUUAAUAUAAUAGUAACCAAUCAUAAAAUACCCCACUUUGCCAAGAAUGCUCAUAAAGUGACCUAUUUUGGUAAGGAAUCAAAGACUUUUCCCUGCAGAGACUUGAGAUAAAUAGCCAGUCACAUGCUUAAUAAGAAUACCCAUCUAUCCAGUCGGUCAAAACUUCUACCCUACGCUUCGGUUCCGUCUAUCUAGUUAGUCACCUUCACUGGUUGCAUUGGACAACCCCGUCUAUCUAGUUGGUCGUCGUCUGUAGGUUGCCAACCCAAACUCGUCUAUUCAGUUGGAAUUUGUGCUGACGGUUAGUGAAUCAGUUAGUUUUCACAAAAGAGUGUGAAAGAGUUUCGCAUAGAGCAGUUGAUUUGUGUUGAGUUGAAGGUCCUCUUUACAUUGCCAGUCCUCUUGUAUUUAUUAGGAAUAAAUUGCUUGAUGCCCAAGAUUGUCAAGUUGUAGAGUUCCGAUAGUAUUGCAACUUCUCAGCAUAUUAUGUGAAUACACUUGGUAUUAUCUUUACAAAUCCUUUCCCAUUGAAACUCCAUCACUACCCAACCUCAGUUCUUCAACUCGAACUACGAUUCUAAACCUAGACUUAUAUAUGAUUAAUUCAACUUCACCAGAAGGCCAAUCCUGAUCUAGAUCAAUCCUAAUCUUCGAGCAAUCCUACUCUAGUUAGGACUCGAUCACAUCAGAAACCAACCCUGAUCUUUAAGAUCUUACUCCGCCAAGGGCUCGGCCAUCCAACAAUAAUACAUUACUGGGCCGAGACUCACAUCCUCCUUUCUGGAUUGAAAUCAAUUCAGGCCGAACUAAAAGUUCAUGCUCAAACAGUGUCAUUCUGUUUCACAUAUUUGUGGAGCCAAAAAUAAUUACAAGACGACAAGUGGAUUUUUGGAUAAAGAAGACAAAAAUACCCUUGAGGAAUAACAGGAUUCCUACGCAUGAGUAGUGGGUGGACAUCUUUCAACCGAGUCAAAAAUGCUCCAAAAAAUGUAACAAUUCAAAAUCCAUCUCAUCAAACCUUUUACAAGGUAAAUCCCAAAACCUAAUUUAUUCCAUAUAUCUUAUAUUUCAUUAUUUAGCUAAUCAAUUAGCUAAAUAAUAUAUUCCUUUCAUAUUUCCUAAAAUCUUUAAAAUCAUAAUAAUUGACUAAUUAAGGGAUUAAUUAUCUAACAAUCCCCUAAUUAUCAAUUAAAACACCCAUUCAACCCCAAAAACAAGUUAAAGGCCAGCCAUCCCUAUUAAAAAAGAAGUCCACCAUACUUUCUACCCUUUUUUAUCAUUUCCCCCUUUUAAUUACACUAAUUAGCUAGCCAAUUAAUUUCAUAACCACCAAAACAUUCCCUUUAUGUUUAAUUAGCCAAUUAAUCAUAAUAAAUUGGCUAAUUAAACCAAAAGUAAACCCAAAAACCCUACCUAAUGGCCGGCCACUCCUUCAAAGAGGACCGGCCUAUCCCUAUAAAUAGUCUCCCAUUUUCACCAAAAGAUCAUUCCAACACACUUGCAAAAUUCCCAAUACUCUCUAAACACUUUUUCUUCCUAAAUUCUAACUUUGGCAUUGGAGGUUUUUCGGCCUAAGCCCCCCAUUCAUUGUGGGCGUGUGAGGCUCUUGGCCUUAACUCUAAGGUGUUAAUUGUUUUGUAGGUGCAAUUUUGUCCAAGAUCAAGGAGGAAGAAAUUUGCAUCCACAAAUUGGUGCUUUCAUUGAGAGGUGAAAUCCAUACUCAUAGAAGACUCUCGCAUAAAAAGGUUUUUCUCUAUUUUCUAGUCCAUUUGAAUAUUUUUCGUACGUUCUUAUUAUUAGAAUUUUUUACUUGCAAAGGUUCUUUGAUAAAACGUAUAAGAAAAAUAUAAUGGCUAGAAAUUUAGAAAAUUCCAUAAGUGAAAAUUCCAAUACUCAAGAGAUGGGAUCACGGAGAUCCACGAGGAAAAAUGCGGUUGUAAGCAGAGUGACACCACCACUACAAGUUUCCACCAUGGCCCAAGCCAUGCCAUCCAAGCUUGCACGGGCUCGAGCCCAAGCCUCGCAUUCGCAUGCACCACGUAUUGAGCAGCUUGAUCCCGUAGCCCAGCCUGUUCCUGUGACCCAGCCUGCUCUUGUGAUCCAGCCUACUCCUGCAGCCUAGCCUGCUCUUAUGGCUUCCCAAGCAGCCCAAGCCGGCCCGAGACUAUCUCACCCAUCUGAACCAAUUGUCGAGCCGAUGGCAUUUACACCGUAUUUCUCCACGGAUCUGACAUUUCCCAAUUCAAAUCUCUUACCCGAAGUUUACUACCCUUCCAUUGCUCAAAGAUGUACUUUCCAUCCAAGCUCUUCCAAUCCAAAUGGCGAACAACAUUUGUCUCGACAAGUCGUAUAGUUGACGAGCGCUUUUGCACAACAAACAACCUUGGUGAAUCAACUUUUGCAACUUACCGAGAUCCAACGUGCCCUAGAUGAGGGGUCUCGAAGUAGGAUAAGGGCAGACGAGGAACCUCUCAAGCAGCAUCCUAGGAAACAGCCACUCAACUAACCACAAACCAAGCAUUCAGGCAGUGCACACUCUUGAUUGGGCCUCUGAGAUACCGUAUACCCCCGUCUUAAUGCGCGGAGGAGCGUGCACUCUCGACUAAGCCCACAGGAAAGUAUACUUUCAUGGUUGGGGCCACGCUUCGAUAAUCAACAUAAGUAGCCUUCUAGGCAAAGCGUUCAUUCUCGGUUAGGCCUGCAAGGAGCAUCAUCCAUAUCAUAUUGAAGCAUGCAGCCUGACGAACGGAAGGAAGCAGUCAUUCAAUCCGGCUCUAGUUCAACUGGUAGCCAGCAAAGAAAUCCCUUGCCUGCUAGGAACCUAUCUCAUACACCGCAACCACGACAUAGAUGAGCCGAGCGUGUAGAAGAGCAGCCUAGACCGACAGGUCAAGACCAGAGGCAGCCGAGAACUCCGUUACCCCAACAAAAGCAAAUCUAAGAAGAGGUAGAAAGACUUUUUAAUGAAUGGAUACAUGAUUUCCGACGCAACGAAAUGGCUGAUGAAGCACUAAGGUGGGAUAUGACCAACAUAAGUAGGUCAUUUUUCAUGGACGAGAUCGAACAGGCAGAGCCUCUAGCAAGUUUAGCAUGCUGCACUUCAUAUCUUUCAAAAGAGAUGAAGAUCCAGAAAGGCACUUGAAGCACUAUUGAAGCGCGAUGGUCCUUUAUUGGAACAAUGACGCCCUUAUGUGCAAAAUAUUCGCCAUCACUCUACAAGGCGAGGCACAAGAUUGGUUUCAUACCUUGCCAUCGCAAUCCAUCCAGAAUUUUGAUGAUCUUUCCUUGGUUUUCACCAAAGAAUACUCAUCUUAUCGUUCGAUCAAGAAAAAGUCUGAUCACUUGUUCAACGUAAAGAAAAACCCAAAUGAGUCACUUUGCAACUACGUGAAGAGAUUCAAAGCAGAGAAGGCAAAUAUCGUCUGGUGCGAUAACUCGAUAACAAAUGCAGCUUUCCAAAAAGGACUCCCAGUAGACCACCCACUGUUCAGAGAAAUGAUCAUGAAAGAAGACCUAACUCUAGCAUAUUCCUUUGCCUUGGCAGAGAAGCAUGCACUUUGGGACGAGGCUCAACAAGCAGAAAAUGCGCCCGAGCAGCCUCGAAAAGAGUCGAUAGCUGUUCAAAGGAAAGAGGACGGGAAGCAACCCAACAAGGGCAGGCAGAAAGUCAAGCGUAGGGACCGACCUACGACCAAAGAAGGCCUAAUAACCAAGAAUUAUUCUAAGUUCUCAAUUUCAAUUCAUCAAAUCCUUCAUGACAUCAAGAACGAACCAUGGUUCAAGUUGCCGAAAUAAUCAAAAGGAGAUACUUCCAAGUUGGACCACACCAAGUAUUGCGCAUUCCACCGAGGUCCUGGUCACACAACCUACGACUGCUACACUUGGAAGAACUACCUAGAGAAGCUCGUGAAAGAAGGCAAAGUCGAUAGAUACUUGGACAAGCCAGCUGUGCAACCAAGAAGGAAUGCAGAUGGUGAUGAAGAGCCGUCAACCAAGAUGAUUCGAAUCAAUGACAUUUUCGUCGAAUCCGAGCACUUGAGGGCCACUAAUAACUCUAAAAAGAGGAAAAUUCAACAGGCUUUACUAAUCUCACAAGUCCAAUCAGUCGAUACCCAACCUGGACCCAUUAUUGGCUUCACUGAGCAGGAUGUAGAAGGCGUCGAUUUCCCACAUGACGAUGCACUAGUAGUAUCUGUCCAAUUAGCCCAUGCUAUAGUCGACAAGAUGAUGGUUGACAAUGGAAGUGCAGUUAACUUAAUUCAACUCUUAGUCAUUCAGAAGAUGGGCCUGGAAAGCACAAUCAUACGUCGAGCAAAGGUACUUACCGAAUUCAACGGAUACACCUCAACUAUCAUCGGCCACAUCACACUUGAUGUGAAAACACCGCCUGUCGUCUCAAAGAAAACGUUCACGAUUGUAAGCGAUCCAUCUCCCUACAAUGGGAUUCUUAGGAGACCUUAGUUGAUCAAGCUGGAUGUUGUCACUUCUGUCAAGUAUCAAAAAAUCUGAUUUCGUAUCCGGGAAGGAGGAGUUGGAGAGAUCAAGUUUAACCAGGCUUCAUCUCGAUGAUGCACUGUGCAAAUGUUAAAAGAAUCAAAGAAUAAAACAUUUACCCCCGUAAAGGCUACCGAAGUCCAAAAGGACAAAGAGGCUACCAAAUAGCAAUUACAGCAGAUGGAUCGAGAAGAUGGCGCCCAAGUAGACGAGAUAGGAUGGAAACCUGAAGAGGAUGUCGAAUACAUCAUUCUUGAUCCCCAGCAGCCGGAAAAUACGGCUAAAAUUGGCUCACGACUAAGCCCAGACAAAAAGGAAGAACUCAUGACUUUUUUUAGAGAAAACCGAGACGUCUUCGCAUGGUCACCAUUCGACAUACCCGACAUUUACCCCAAGGUCGCUUGCCACAAGCUGCACGUCAACCCUACAGCCAAACCGGUAAUCCAAAAGAGAAGACAUUUCGCACCCGAACGAGUAGCGAUCAUUGAGGCGGAAAUCGACAAGCUAUUGGAGGUCGGAUUCAUAGAAGAAGUAGCACACUCGGCAUGGCUUGCCAAUGUCGUACUAGUCAUGAAGAAAGAGAAAGGAAAAUGGAGGGUUUGCAUAGACUACACCGACCUCAACAAAGCAUGCCCAAAGACCCCUAUCAUGUCCCCCGAAUCGAUCUAUUAGUAGAUUCAACUUCUAAGAACCAGUUGCUUAGUUUCUUAGACCCAUACUCUAGCUACAAGGCUAUAACCAAAUAGCCAUGUAAGAGCUCGACAAGGAGAAAACCGAGUUCGUGAUAGAGUGGGGCACCUACUGCUACAAGGUCAUGCCCUUUGGCCUCAAGAACGCAGGAGCCACUAACCAAAGACUAGUAAAUGUGAUGUUUAAGAAGCAAAUUGGGGUAACCAUGAAGGUCUAUGUUGACGAUAUCAUGGUAAAUGGCAAACAGCGAUCAGAUCACAUUCACAAUUUGGCAAAAACUUUAAAUAUCCUUAGAACGUACAAGAUGAAACUCAACCCUACCAAAUGCACGUUUGGAGUAUCUUCAGGCCGAUUCCUAGGGUACUUAGUAAUCCAACGAGGAAUUGAAGCAUAUCCUAAGAAAAUCCGAGCAAUCAUAGAGAUGAAGUCUCCUACUACCUUGAAGGAGAUCCAAAACUUGACUGGACGAGCAACUGCCUUCAACCGCUUCCUCUCACGAUCCAUCGAUCGAUGCAAGCCUUUUUUCAAAACUAUCAAGACGGCAUAAAGAGACAAAUGGGAUGAAGAGUGCGAAAAAAGCUUUCCAAGACUUGAACAAGUAUCUCACAUCACCUCCGUUACUAUCCAAGCCGGAAGCAACGGAGGAUUUAUACAUUUACUUAGCAGUCUCCGAAGUCGCAGUGAGCUCUGCCCUUAUACGAGAAGAGAUAGGGGCCCAACUACCGAUAUUCUACACUUCUAAAGCUCUUCUUGAUGCGGAAACAAGAUAUCCAAAGAUCGAAAAAUUAAUUUUAGCAUUAGUUGUUGCGGCUCGAAAUCUCAUACCAUACUUUCAAGCUCAUACAAUCAUUGUUAUGACUCAGUAUCCUCUACGAUCAAUCUUACAUGGUCUGAACGCUUCUUAACGAGUGAUGAAAUGGGCAUUGAAACUUGGCCAAUAUGGUUUAGUUUUUCGACCUCGCACAACGAUAAAGGCCCAAGCCUUAAUAGAUUUCAUAACAGAAUUUGCACCUAGCCUAGGUGAUGCAACAGAGCAGCCUAGCAAUACUUCAGAAGCCAAACACACCUUAGCCAUGCUUACACCUCAAGCGAAGAUUUCUGGCAUUUGCAUGUUGACGGCGCAUCCAACAACAAAGGUUCAGGAGCAGGCAUGGUCCUUGUUACUCCAGAUGGCUCAAUGCUCGAGCAGGUGAUCACUUUAGGCUUCAAAUCAUCCAAUAACGAAGCAGAGUACGAUACCUUACCAGCAGGCCUCCGAAUGGCAAAAGACUUGGUGGUUAAGAAGCUCGCAAUUCAUUCUAAUUCCCAACUAAUCACUAGCCAGGCUACUGGGGAAUACAUGACAAAACACCCAAGGAUGACACAAUACCUAGAGAAAAGAUGCCAGCAGCUUGAGGCAUUUCAGACUUACACUCUCACUCAAGUUCUGCGGGCAGACAACGCCCAUACAGAUGCGCUAGCUGGUUUAGGCUCCGCAUUUGACCACCAAUUUAAACGUUUCAUUCCGGUGGAAUAUCUAGACAAGCAAGCAUAGAGAUGGAGUCGACAGCCGAAGUGUCACAGGUUAGUGUAACUCCCAACUGACAAAGUUAUAUUAUAAACUACUUGGUCAGCGACACACUACCCAUAGAAAGAUUGAAGUCAAGAAAGCUCUAAAUCAAGGCGGCGCGCUACUAUAUAUGGAAUGGCAUUCUCGUCCGAAGAUCUUACAUCGAACCGCAUCUCCGCUGCCUAGCACCUCCUAAUGACUUGAAGGUUCUAAGCUCAAUCCAUGAAGGCGUUUGUGGGAAUCACUCCGGAGACUGAUCCUUAGCACAUAAGGCUCUUAACGCAAUCUACUACUGGCCUACCAUGCACCAAGAUGCUAUGGAGUUAGUACAAAAGUGCAAUCGCUGCCAACGUUACAAACUGGUACCAGCACUGCCUGCCAGCAAGCUACACCCGCAGAUGAGUUUUUGGCCAUUCAUGCAAUGGGCAAUUGACUUGGUAGGGCCUAUGCCGCCUGCUAUUGGGGGCAAAUGCAUGAUGAUCGUGGCAACCGACUACUUCACCAAAUGGAUAGACACAGAACCCAUGACGACCACGACUCAGACGGACAUAGAGCUCUUCAUAUGGAGGAACAUCAUUUGCUGAUUUGGCAUCUCUCAGUCCAUUGUCACCGACAACGGCCCGCAAUUUGUGGGAAAAGAUUUGGCAAAGUUCUUCCAAAAGUACGGCAUCAAACAACACAUAUCCACACCAAGAUAUCCUCAAGGCAAUGGGUAGGCCAAAACAUCAACAAGACGAUCCUCGACUGCCUCAAGAAAUCCAUCACUGACAAAAAGGGAAAAUGACCAGAUAAGCUCCUCAAAUGUUUAUGGGCAUAUUGCACCACCAACAAAUGAGCGACUGGUGAGACUCCUUUCUUUUUGGCAUUUGGUUCGGAAGAAAUCAUUUUUCCCAACAUCAUCGUGCCCAACAUCAACACUCUAUUGCCAAGCAUUGAGCAAAACAGUAAAGAGAUGGCCACAAACUUGGAUCUGGCAGAAGGACCAUUGCAGGAAUUGCACCCUCUGAAGGACCAACCAUGCUCUCCAAAGUGGGAGGAUAAACUCAACACUCUGAAUAUCCAGACGUGGAUGAGCCUGGCUGCCCUAGUAUAACUAGAUGCACGAUGGCUUGCGCUGGUAUUCUUAGAAGUAGCCACAAUGGUCUUUUUCAAGGCUUAGCUAGUUGAAGGAUUUUGGGUCUCUUGGCCUAAUUCGCAGGGAACUGGGCCCUAGAGACAUAAAGGGCACAUUACGUAGUACACCCUAUGGGUGGCUGCUUUGGAAACCUAAAACUGCUACGAAUUGCACUAAGGCAGCCUACGGAUUUUUAGAAGACUGCCUACGGCUUGCCCUUCAAGCAGUAAAACCACGCUAGGCUUAUACAAUCUCACAUUCUUGUGAAAGGUUAAACAAGCUAGCAUGCAUAUACGAAACUUUAUCCAUUGCCGACAUGUUACGUAGUCGAUAAGCUUCACCUCUGCCUGAAGGAAAAAUUUUGUCCUAGCUAAGAACAAGUAUGAACAUUUGAAUACAUAUGCAAGCUAUUAACACUUUAAAGUAGACAUGCAUCCAAAAACAAUUCAUAAAACCCAUGACUUUCAAAGCCUAGUAUAUGGUGAACCAAAAUAAACUCUUUAACAACAUUAAAGAGAAGUAAAGAUUUAGAAUUUCUUUACCCUUGAAGCUCAUCCUUGUUUACACAAGGGAUUCACCCAAGUGGAGGGCCUUCAAGUCACCUCCAAGCUCCUUGAAUCCUCCUUGUGUUUUCCUCCCUUUAGUGCUCCUUUGAUGAUUUGAGGAAAAAGGAUUUGUUCUCCAAAACACCAAAAGCUUGAUGUCUCUAAGUCUCUUCACCAAGGUUGUAUCUUGUGAAGAUGAUAUGGAUGACUUAGAGAGAUUUUAGAUGCUAGUAAAAAUCCUCUAAGUGGCCGGCCUCUAUGUAGAAAAUGAGAGAAAAAUGUUUCACCCAAUUUCUAUUAGAAAACCCUAAUGAGAAACAAAGCUAUAAAGAUGACUUUAUACUUCAUCUCUUAGGUUAGUGGCAAACUUGCAAUUAAGCAAAAUUUCCCACUACCCUUGCUAUGGCCGGCCUCCUUUUGUUAUUGGGCUAAAUGCCCAUAUUUGUUUUAGUUGUCAUACAACUUAGACAUAAUGGGCCUAGUGGACCAAAACAAUUUUGGACCCCGAAGCCCAAACUAACUUAAAAGCCCAAUACGAACCUUUCGUAUAAUUAAUUAACUAAUUAAUUAACUUUGACCAUUCUUCAAUUAAACCAUUUAAUUGCUUAUCCAUUUCAUAUAAUUUCUUCACUAACAUCCUUAUGUGGUGUGCGAUCCAUUAGGUUCCAAUUAGCGAGGCAGUGGGCGAUGUUACUCUUAACGAUCGAUUGUGAAUUGAAACCACAUUUCAAUUCUCCCUUAAGAUUAGUGUUUGCUAAUCUUCAGGGCUUCCACAAACCAUGAGUGACACCUAGCAGCAUAUCAUGGUUACCCAAGCUAAGUAGAAUUGAUUGGAGAACCUAUCCAGUUACAACUACAAUGCAAUACGGUCCUUCUCUAAUACAAUACUCUUAAUCACAUUGUUUAAGUGAUAGUUUGUUUCAUGUCUACUAUCCAAUGUGAUACUUUCCUAUAUGAUUCAUUUGAAUAUGAUUUGGAACAAACUUCCUAAGUCAUAUUCAUUUGCUUUGGCCAAAGACUUUAGAAUCAUAUCUUAGAGUAUUCUCCCUCCACCAUGGAAGGUUAGAGAUCCCUUGUUGUGCAUUCAUAUGCCUACAUGACUAGAUAGCUUGACCCCAACAAUGCCGUGGACAAUCCAAAGGAAUGCCAUUGACAUGAUCAAAGAUCAAGGACCUAACCAUUAGACAUCUAUGAUGCCUCAGGUCAAAGGACUACUUUGCAUAUUGUAACUUUAGAGUUCAUACAUGACAUGUAUGUUCGAACUCUCUUUUGAUCGUCGUUCAGUGUACUCGAUUACCUUUUUCGAGCACCUAUGUGUUUGUCUUAGUGUCCAACACCAAAUGACUUGAGACUAGUUCAUACUCACGUUUGAGUCAACAUAACACAUACUAACCUUAGCAGAUUGUCAAUGCCCAAUUGGCAAUCCUAUGGCUAGGAACGUUUUAGGAAUGAACAUAAGAGAAUGGUCUCGAUAAUCUAACUCACUUAGAUCACUUGUCUCUUAGAUCAAAUACAUCCCUUGGAUUCCCUUAUUGCUUAAACACAUGAUACAAUAAAUAGUGAUUAACAAUAAGCUUUGCCCUUCAUUAAACAUAUAAAAGUUUAAUACAAUAAGUAUUCCAAAAGCUAUUACAUCAAAUGAGUGGCUUUGUGGGCAUACUUCCAACACUGCUAAGCACAGAACAACUUACACCAAGUCCUAAAGUGUUGUGAUACUUGUUACACAACCUACGAAAUUGGAAAGAGCCAAGGUUAACAAACUAGUAGUUACGCGGAUUCGUCUGCUUAUGUAAGUAAGGCAUCCGGCUGCCAACCCUAUGGCUAACAACUCUGCAAGAGUUAUACACCAACACCUACGGCUGAGUAGGCUAUGCAGACCUAUCUGCUUAUAGAAAAGUAGCACGCUUGCCACUGGUCUAUAAGGUCUAAAGGUUAGGGCAUGAACAAAGAGAAGCGAAGAUGGAGAAAAGCAAAGGAAGCAAGUUUAUUAAAUUUUCUAGCAAAAUUGAUAAACAACUAGCAAACAUCGAAUGAGUUCAAGCAAAAGCAACAAAGGAAAACAAAGAAAAUCCUAAAGGCUACCUAGAAGACUACUCUUCAAAUAGUUUGGACAUCACACGAUUACUCGGUUACCACAUCUUCAGCAGCCUUGAUGUUUUCAGCAACGACAUUCUCCGGCACUUUACCAUCUGCUGCCCUAGCCUGGGCACCAACUUUUCCAACUACUUCACCGAUAGAAGACUCAAAAGUAAAAGAGAGCAAGUCUUCUUGAGAAAUAGAGAAGGUAUCGAAGUUUUUACUGGAAAACUCAAAGUCAGACGGUCGCCCAUAAAAAUGAUCUAUAUAACCCAGCUUGUAGAAAUCAGCUUGACUAUAACUAAGUAAAGCCUUGAACCCAACAUUCUCACCCUUCAACUGCUCAUUCUCCUCAAGCAGGUAAACACGAACCCUUGCAGCUCCUCAAUUUCUUUCUUCAGAUUGUCGUUGAUCUUCAAAGCACUUUGAAGUUCUAACACUUGAGGCUCAAGCCUAUCGACAACCUUUUUGAAAUGGAUCACUUGGUUGUAAGCAGCGAUCAAUUCUUCAUCCUUUGCAUAAGCAGCGGAGCGGAAUUCAGUAAUGGAACGCUCAAGAUCUUGAAUUUGAGGUAUGUAACCCUCGAUUUCCUUCUCUGCACUUUCGUACUUUACUUGGAUCGCAUCAAGCCUAGUCUUCAAAACCAUGAUCUCUUGGUAAGUCGCCUCAAGCUGCAGAGAAGUGGGGGCAGAAAUGUUAGAUCCCUUCAAAGUAGCAUGCUCAGAUUCCAAUUUCCUGAUUUUUUUUUACCGAUGAGUAAACUUCGGUAGCCAUGGUUCUUACCAUCUCUUUAGCAGCCUUGGUAUCUUUUUGCUCGAGGAACAUAGACUCGGUUACCAGAAUUGUUGUUUUCUACAUCAUGGCUAGCAGAGCAGUUUUCCUAUACUCGGAUGUAUGCUUCGCGAAAAGACUUAGACCAACAAUCGACGGCAUCAACAAACUUGGCACAUAUAUCCAUGUCUUCCUAUACUCGGAUAUGCUGCUUUUUUUUUUGUUGAAAACAACUCUCUAACAAAUCCCACUUGUGUUUUUUUUUUUUUGUAGAAUUUCCAUGCAUGUCUUCCUCGAGCCAUAAAAAUGAUGAUGAUGUGUCGCCGUUGUACCAUCAAGGUGGGUCUUUGAGCAAGGUUGGCAACUUCAAAGCUGCUCACUUCAAGAUUAGCUCCGAUGAUUUGUUUAGAGAUUUUCUUGAGGCGUACUGGCAUGCCAUUCCAUCGGGAGUACGUAUGAAGCAAGUUAAGGAUGGUAGCAGCCGGGAACCAUGCAGUGGAACUCGAAGAGCCAUCAAGUUCCACUCUUACUAUUUUGUGUUAGGGUUUACUUUCCCAAUGCCGUAUUUUUUCCAAGAAGUGCUUUGCUCCAUGAGAUGUGCCCUCGCCCAAUGUUCCUCGAACGCAGUCCAUAUGAUGGUGGGAUUCCACAAUCUAAGCCAAUUCUUUGACUUAAAUCUAACCGUCAACGAAUUUUGGUACUUCUUCGACAUAAGUCACAUUGACGGAGUUUGGCAACUGCGAUCUCGCCAUAAGCUUUUUGAUAACUCGAGCAAGGGAGAACAUGACUGGCUAAAGAAACUUUGGAGAUAAGUGGAGAAUGAGAGUCUGAUUCUUCCCCCGAGCUGCGUGUACCAACGGUCUUCAUAUCUGGUAAGUAGGCUGCUUAAUCUUCUCGGCUGCUUUGCUUUAGUGCCAAGUUACUCUUCAAUUUUCUGAUUGUCUCCCAUUGUUUUUUGUAGAUUCGAAAUUCGGAUCAACACCUAAGGUUUUUCCAGACAUGAAGAAAGUACAUGUCGUUCUGGGUAUCCCUUCCGAAUAUCGUGAGUGGCGUUGGCUGCUUAGUCCUAUUCGUAUAGAAAAAGUGGGCUGCCACCAAAAGAGGAGAUAAAAAGGAUCAAGGUUGAUGCGAUGGCUUGUCAUAUCAUAAUGAUGGAGCCCACUAUCAAUGAAGGUGGGAAAAAGAAACAUUCCCCGCCUGCUCAAGAGAUGCCUGUUGAAAGGAAACCGAAGACUGCUCGCAGAGAUUCUCCAGCUGCUCAAGAAAUACCUGUUGAGAAAAAACCGAAGAUUGCUUCCAAAGGAUUCUCAGUUUCCUUCUUAUCAGUAGACGAAUUGGUUGCAGCAGUGGAGAAAGCAAGUUUUGGCGCCACUUUAGCAGGCAGGGGCACCUUGUCACUUUUCAUAGUAGCAAGCCUCUCUAAAUGUGAGGUAGACUUAGCUCCAGACGAACACUUUGGAACAAACUUCAGCACCGGAGGCAUGGAGGAACUUUUGCACUGGGCAAUCCUUUCAGCAAUCGAGCUAGCAGCCUUUGGAGCAAUAGGCGUUACUGGCACAAAUCUAGCAGUUCUUUCUUUCUCGCCCUUAGAGGAAGUCAAGUCAAUUACAAACUUAGGAAUAGUUGAUGAACCCUCACGAGCAGCGGAAGCAAUCUUCGAUUUUUUCUGAACAGGUAUUUCUUGAGCAGUCGGAGAAUCCCUGCGAGCAGUCUUCGGUUUCCCUUCAGCAGGCAUCUCUUGAGCAGGCGGGGAAUGUUUCUUUUUCCCACCUUCAUUGAUAGCAGGCUUCAUCAUAGUGAUAGGACGAGCCAUCGCAUCUGCCUUGAUCCGUUUUAUAUCCUCUUUUGGGGGCAUCCCACUUUUUUCCUUACGAAGAUGACUAAGUAGCCAACUCCACUCAUGAUAUUUGAAAGGGAUACCCAGAGCGACAUGUACUUUCUUCAUGUCUGGAGAAACCUUAGGAGUUGAUCCGAAUUCCGAAUCUACAAAAAACAACGGAAGACAAUCAGAAAAUUGAAGAGUAACUUGGCACUAAAGCAAAGCAGCCGAGAAGAUUAAGCAGCCUGCUUACCAGAUAUGAAGACUGUUGGUACACGCAGCUCGGGGGAAGAAUCAGACUCCCAUUCUCCACUUAUCUCCAAAGUCUCUUUAGCCCAAUCAUGAUCUCCCUUGCUCAAGUUAUCAAAAAACUUAUGGCGAGAUCGCAAUUGCCCAACUCCGUCAAUGUGACCUAUGUCGAAGAAGUACCAAAAUUCGUUGACAGUUAGAUCUAAGUCAAAGAAUUGGCUUAGAUUGUGGAAUCCCACCAUCACACGGACCGCGUUCGGGGAACAUUGGGCGAUGGCACAUCUCAUGAAGCAAAUCAUUUCUUGGAAAAAACGCUGCAUAGGGAAAGUAAACCCUAACACAAAAUAGUAAGGGUGGAACUUGAUGGCUCUCCGAGUUCCACUGCAUGGUUCCUGGCUGCUACCAUCCUUAACUUGCUUCACACGCACUCCCGACGGAAUGACAUGCCAGUACGCCUCAAGAAAAUCUCUAAACAAAUCAUCGGAGUUAAUCUUGAAGUGAGCAGCUUUAAAGUAGCCAACCUUGCUCAAAGACCCGCCUUGACGGUACAACUGUGGCACACCAUCAUCAUUUUUGUGGCUCGAGGAAGACAUGCUUGAAAAUUCUACAAAAAAAAAAAAAAAGGCUUAAAAGCCUAGCCGCAAAACCCAAAAGGGCAUAAAGCCCUUCAGUUCUUUCCUAGGGCACGGGCCCAAAAAAAAAAAGGUGAAAGAAGCUCUCGGCCCAAAUUGACCAAAACAUAGGCUUUUUUUCCUUUUUCUCCCUGCACCAAACACGGGCCCAUGCCCAGCCUCACGGCCUAGCAAAAUUGCCAAGCCUCACGGCUUGGUCUAUUCCCCAGAUUUGAUCAACAGGGCACCCACGGCAGCCUCUGUUAUAAGCUCUCCAAGCGACUUCGACACCCCGUCGAGCCAUUCUCAAGCCUCGAGGCUUCCAAAAAAAAUCAAGAAGACAAGAAAAUUAAAUUUUUCUUACCUAGAAGCAACGAGAAGACGAAGCAAGCAACGAAAAACGAUCUUUUGCACGGGCAAGAUAUAGAAAAUUGCUAGAGGAAGGGAAAUAAAUAUCCUCUAAGCUCUCUCUCUUAUAGGGUAGAAUAAGUUUCUCUCUAAAAGUUGAUUUAAUAAUCCGCUUAAGGUGGACUUAAAUAAGCUUUGAGAGGAAUUUAUUUCAUUUUCCUAGAAUGAUCUAAUUUCCUAUUAAAAUAGAGAAUCACCGUCAAAAUAGGAAACAAUUCAAAGUUUCCCAAGACAAGAAAAUCUCUACACCUAUUACCCUUUUUUUUGCGAGCAGCCCAACAUGUGUGGGGGCAUUUGUGGAGCCAAAAAUAAUCACAAGGUAACACGUGGAUUUUUGGAUAAGAAGACAAAAAUACCCUUGAGGAACAACGGAAUUCUUACGCGCGAGUAGCGGGCGGACAUCUUUCAACCAAGUAAAAAAUGCUCGAAAAAAGGUAACAAUUCAAAAUCCGUCUUAUCAAAACCCUUUUACAAGGUAAAUCCCAAAACCUAAUUUAUUUCAUAUAUUUUCUAUUUCAUUAUUUAGCUAAUCAAUUAGCUAAAUAAUAUAUUCCUUUCAUAUUUCCUAAAAUCUUCCUUUAAAAUCAUAAUAAUUGACUAAUUAAGGGAUUAAUUACCUAAUCAAUCCCCUAAUUGUCAAUUAAAACACCCAUUCAACCCCAAAAACAAGUUAAAGGCAGGCCAUCCCCAUUCAAAAAGAAGUCCACCAUACUUUCUACCAUUUUUUAUCAUUUCUCCCUUUUAAUUACAUUAAUUAGCUAGCCAAUUAAUUUCAUAACCACCAAAACAUUCCCUUUAUGUUUAUGUUGACCCUAGAAACUACAAAGCCUACGUGGCGCGCAGGCCGAGUAAUUAAUGAGCUAACUACGUCCUUCGGUGAAUGCGGGGCGUGCCAACUCGUCGGCCGAGCUCGGCCGAGGAGUAAAUUUGUUGAUGUUGCGUUGGGUCGCGCUACUGACUUCUGCGUCUUGCGAUUGCGGCCGAGAAAGGAACACGUCUCGGCCUCUUGGGCUCUCGAACCUGAAGACAAGGUUACUAUUCUUACGAAGUUCAAUAUCAAAUUCGGCUUUCAAUGUGCCGAAUGUAAUAACUGUAACACCUCACUUCGCCGAAAAGGCUGAUGAGAUGACCUCGACCAAUAAGGAUUUAGAAACCCUUCUCGACCGAGACUUGGAUAGGUAAUCAAUCGUUCUCGCCGCAGUGCUGUUGAUGCCAACGGAAGAUACUGCGAGACCGACUGACUCUACAGUGACAGAGCUAUCUAUGCCGACUUAAGAUAUCACCGGUUGCUUCCACAGUGCUGUUGAUGCCAACGGAAGAUGUGUCAGCGAAAAAGGAAAAAGAAAAAUCACAAGUUGUGAGAAUUUGCGCAGGGCAAUUUUGUGUGUUGAAUUGGAGCCCUUCUCUGUUGCUGAAUGUCUUGUAUUUAUAGUAGCAGAACAUCGAGCCCGAGUUCCAAUCCUAUUCGGACUAGGUUUCCUUCUCCGGAUUAACAUCCCCUCGAUCAGUCCUAUCUCCGCUAGGACUACGAAUCUAGUCCUUAACUGAGCCGGAUUCGCUUUCUAGAUUAUUGAUCUCGUCGAGAGUCCCUAUUGUACUAAGACUCGACUUGCGUUCUGAUUUAACCGACUUAGGCUUGGAAGCCCAUGAGCUGAACGCUCCAUGACCCUUUCGCCGCACGGCUUCUCGGGCCGAGAGUGAUUCUACCCUCGGCCCAAACUAUUAUUUUGGGCCCAAACAGUUUAAUUAGCCAAUUAAUCAUAAUAAAUUGGCUAAUUAAACCAAAAUUAAACCCAAAAUCCCUACCUAAUGGCCGGCCACUCCUCCAAAGAGGACCGACCUAUCCCUAUAAAUAGUCUCCUAUUUUCACCAAAAGAUCAUUCCAACAUACUUGCAAAAUUCUCAAUACUCUCUAAACACUUUUUCUCUCUAAAUUCUAACUUUAGCAUCGGAGGCUCUUCGGCCAAAUCCCUCCCCAUUCAUCGUGGGCGCGUGAGGCUCUUGGCCUUGACCAUAAGGUGUUAAUUGUUUUGUAGGUGCAAUUUUGUCCAAGAUCAAGGAGAAAUAAAUUUGCAUCCACAAUAUUUUUUUUCCAGACAUUUCUUCACACAUUUCAUUCCCGUUUAAAAUAGCAUGCUUUUCGUCUAUCUUUAACACCAUAUAAAUAUAAAAAUAAAAAACUCAACAUAAUGAGAAGUUUCUUUUGAAACAAGAAAAUUAUCACCAAGAGUACGUUAAAAUAUAAACCAAUGCCCUGUUUGGAUAAUGACGAUAUGUAGUCCAACAUGUCUAUAAUAUAUAUGUUAUGACUCCACUGAGUUGCCCUCUAAGUUGAUACCGAUGAAGAAAUCACCGUGGUUGAUCUGCACUUUCCUUUCGAAGAGAGAGAACUAAUUUCAUUACUUGAACUGGAUUAAUUCCAGCUACAUAUAUAUAUAUAUAUGUAUAUGUAUAUAUAUAUCUAUAUAUCUAUAUAUAUAUCUAUAUAUCUAUAUAUAUAUAUAUAUAUAUAUAUAUAUAUAUAUAUAUAUAUAUAUAUAAACUAAUGCAGCUUAUGGCCUCAAGUUCCACGCCGAGGAACCAAGAUUUGAAACCAUGAAAGCAGCAGCUUAAACAAAGUUUUUGGUUCGACUAAGAUUUGACGGUCUCUCCUAAUUUGUAGAGAGUAACCAAAGUAAUCACUACUAAUUUAUAGUAAUAUAAUAUGACUUCAAGACCUGUAAAAAUAGAGAGACGAAAGAAGUUGAGGCCACAAGGCAGCAGCCGUGCUGACAUAUGCUGAGCAGCUUAAGUUUUUGGAAAGCAGGAAUAGGGGAUGAUUAGAAGCAUGAGCCAAAUAUAAAACAAUUAGAAGGGUGCUUUCAAGAUGGAAAAUGGGUAUCAUGAUGUACACUUGGUUUAAGGCUAAACUAGUUUAAUUAACAGCAUAAAGACCUUUCUAUUUGUGUCAAUGUUUCCAGGAUAUGUGACAAAGUUAAAGUAAGUGCUUUUGGCUUAACUGAAGCCGGGAAUGGCAGCUCAAACUACUUUCGGGGCAUGGAGAGAAAAAGUGUUUUAUGAUAUUCUUCUUUCGUAACGAGUUAAUGAUAAUUUUACAAGAUACAAACACUGUAAAACAUGAAACACUAUUAAGUCUAUUAUAUUUCACAUUUAGCUUUCAUUUACGCUAAUCAUCGAUUGCUUUAACAUUCAAUUAAUUAUUGUCCAUACAUUUGGCACAAUUGUUUGUAGCAAGAUCAUAGGAAAGGCUUCAACUUAUGGAAGUGGAACAAGAAUCUAAUAAGUAUCAAGUACAAGUAGAACCUCAAAAAAUAUAGUUUAAAAUCAAAGCUGUUUUUUUAGGUUUUAAUCAUGGUUGGAAACCUGAAAGCAUUCGGAAUCUAAGAAAGAUCAACACCGCAAAACAAUAAAAAAGGGCACUUUUCUGAUAAUUGUGUAGUCUAAAGUGAAGUUUAUUGAACCAAACAUUCAUAUAAAGUAGAAGUUUUGUACUAAUUUUAUGUCAUUAGACUUGAUUUUUACACCUUUAACCUUAAAAAAUAACAGCCAACUUGAACUUUUUUUUAGUUUCCUUCAAAAGUCCUUCAACAGUAAAGCGCUUUUUUUUCUUUUUCCUUUUAAAAAAGCGACUUUGUUUAUUUCACUAACAAAAUCACUUUUGUUGCAUAAGGACAAGCCCUCGUUGACAAUCUAAAAGCACUUUCAAGGGGAUUCGUUUGCAUUUACUUGAAGGUGGAGGGAGACUCAGAGAUCCUUAUUGAUAUAUUGUUAAUGUGAGUAUAAUAUUCAUAAGCUUGUGGAUGUCACUCUUCUCCCACAAAUUCACCUAAUGAUGCGAACCUUCGUAAUUUUAACUGUGUGAGAAGAUUUUGUUUGUAACUUUUUCCCUUUCUUAAGAUGUUUUAUUUACUUUACAUUCUGAGUAAAAGAAACUUGAAAUCAAGACUUGUUCCUUCCUCGAUCUUCUUUGUCAUUUGUUUUAGAAGGACUUGAUUAUUUUGAUCAUCGAUGUUGCUAUUCUGCUUGAACUAUAUACAUCUUUGCACAUACCACUAAUAAACUAACUCGUUUGGGUGCGGUUUUAAAAUGACUGAAACCAUUUUUGAUGAAAUUGUUUUUGAGUUACCAAAGCACUUGAAGUGCUUUUCCAGUAUUCCCUCGCAUUUUUACCAAUGAUUUAUUCUAAAAACACUUCCAUAAAAAGUGCGUUCAAUCAUUUUAAAACGAGCCUUAAUGUAUGCAUUGUAUUUUAUACAAACGUUUUUACUAAUAACAACUUUAAAGUUAAAGAUCAAUCAAGUAAGUUGCUGGAUAACAGAACAUGAAUACGCAGACAUUGUUUUGAUCAAAGAUUUUAGUUCUAAUCAUUCGAAGGAACAGCUCGAGAGGAGAAAUUAAAACUGAAAUCUUGAUUUGCAUUGGCAAGACGUAUUCGAUGUCAACUUAAACCUCUAAAUCGAGCUAACUACAAGUUUUCGAGAAGAAAUCCGGAUGCAUCUGCUGCCAUAAAUUGUUGAAUAAAUAUACCAAAAACACGGCAGAAGAAAAGAUCAUGAAAAAGUUGAGUAUCAAAGCACACAAAGUGAAAGUGAUAUUUUAUAUAAGGAUGCUUAUUAUUUUGAAUUUAAGGAAAAAUGAAGAAAAAAUUCCUUUUCCGCUGAAAUGCAUACCAGGAACUCAUCACCUUUCCCUAUUUUAUUUAUUCCAUAGUAGCUAGGAGAUUGGGACCUACGAUUGAUUCUCUUCUUCGACUAAAAGAAGAAGCAAAAGCCGUUCAAUAAUACGGGGCGACUUUACCUCUUGGAACAUGAAAAUGUCAUCGGCAGAUGUUUCAAACUGGAAACAUCAAACAUCUCCAUAAACCUCUGAUCCGCAACUCUCGCUUUCGCAGCUGCAAACCGCUGGUAUUCGUCAAAAACAGACGUGAGGCACCAUCUCUGCAAUUUUCUCAAGCACCCCACCAGACAACCCGUUCGAUGCUGAAAAAAUACGACCAAAGUAAGCAACCAUCUACAACGUAUAAUGCCAUUGAUUACUCAAAAUCAGGGUGUGAACGUAUAAGAAUCCAGUAGUGUACAUACCUUCCCUCGUUUACAAUGAAUUAAGACAGGGUGGUUCCUUACAUCUGCAUUGCAGACAAGUAAACUAAUGUAAGCCACAUUGCUGUAAUUCUGGUUCGGUAAGAAAUUAAGUGAAAUAUUGUCAAUUCUGUGUCGUACCGAGGACAACUUUUAGUGCUUCACGGAUUGUAUCAUCCGGGAUGUUUACAAAAGGCUCCUGAAUGCACAAUUCAAUUUUGAAGAUCAGUUCGUAUAUUGUUGAAUAAUUCAUGUUAAUAAGGAACUUUAUCAACAAUCAAACAAAGAAGUAAUUAAAGAUUUAAAUCCGUUUCAUCAUGUAACGAAAAUUAAAACGAAGACUGCCACUCGGACCAAAUGACAUUGAGAGAAGAAAUGUUUAUAUAUUUCAACAAAGAUUCUCAACUUAAGCACAUAACUUGGUGUAUAAAAAUUACUGCACGCCAAUCCAACCAUUGUCCUAGAGUGAGAUGGUACCAACUCCUAGAGCGAGAAGUACUUUCAUACAUCCCGAUGAUUUAUUGCAACUACAUUGGCAAAAACACAAACUCCCAAAGAUGUAUUAGAACACUGAUACUAGAAACCAUUUGAAAAAAUUGUCCAGAGUGCAUUUUAAACUUCACCUCAGAGAAUGAUACUCAAAGUAAGCAUACUUGAAUUUAAAACAAUUGGGAUGAGAUAAAAAUCAAUCUAGUGUUCCGAUAUGGUUUCUGCAAAGCUUCUUGCAAUUAGAACUGUAAGUAUCUCCAAUACAGAAGUUCAUUAGAACAGUUCAGUGUCAACAGACGGUAUCAACGAAAGGAAAUGAUUUUCACCCUCCCAUGUUCUCCUCAUUCACUCCCCUACUCGUUUCUAUCCGUUGAUUUCCCAUUGAUUAUUCAAUCCUAUGGCUAAAAACAAGAGGGAGGACAAGGGGAUAAAAGAGAGAGUACGGAUAUCAUUUCUCUUGACGAAAUACACAUCAUAUGUUUCCUUCAAUACCAAAAAGGGGCAAAACAUUAAUCAGUUUAGAUAAUUCAUCCAUUAAACAAUGGAAAGAAUAAACUCAUGUGAUUAAUGUACAUCCCACAAACAUAAGGUAGGAUUCCAUGAAAGAGUGUUUCAGUCUAUGUGAUAGAAACUCGUGGCCCUCUAGUUAGAUAUAUGCCAAAACAAUAACUGUCAUCCCAUCCAAAACCAAAACCAACAAACAAUACCCCACACAAAUAAAAUAAAAAAUCGUUAUUAACAAAAUUAUGUAAAAUAUAUAUAUAUAAGUUUUUUUAGCCAAAAUAGUCAUUGAAAUUUGUAUAACUCCUCACUUGGUCCUUAAGAUUCAAAAUCGAUAUAACUGGUCCUGACUUUGUCCAUUGUCAACCAUUUUGGUCAUUUUGUGAAAAAUCUCCGUUAAAUAAAGAAAAAAUUGACAAAAUAGCCCUAAUUUUUGUCAAAUCAGUUUGGCCCAUUGUUUAUUACAUUGAAGCUAUUUUUGUCAUUUUAGUCUUUAUUUAACAGAAUAUGAGGAGUUAUACCAAUCUCAGAGACUAUUUUGGCUAAAAUUUCUUAUAUAUAAUUAUUGAAGUUAUCAGACAAAAGGAACAACAACAAGAAGGACAUCCACAACAAAUGGCCAUUAUGACUCAACUAACAAAGCAUCUUGAUGAGGAUAAUGGAGUAUUAGUUAAACAUAAGGAAUAUAAGUACGACUGUAUGAGCCUCAUUCUCUUUGUCACUUGGUGAUCAAGGAUUUAUGGUCACCUAUUGUUGGAUUCGAUAUCAAGUGUUGAGAUAAAACUUUAAGAAUACGUUUAUUUAUUUUCCAUCCUUUAUAUCAAAUUUAUGGGUGAGUGACCAUACAUUCGUCUGUCACCAUAUAAGUAAUUAUGUACUACUUGAUUGAUUUAUUCAGCAAAUAUACACACACGUAUAUGUACCCCGAAAAUCAGGCAACUCACGAGUCUCCGAACCCUACUUCAUUGAUGAACGGUCCAAUCACUUUUCUUAUCUCUUGCUAUAGGCACCGAGUACAAAUCUUUCUCCCGAUAGUUUAGAUUAAAGACGGUCCAUUUACGAUGAUCAAUUUAAGUAGAAAAUUAAACAUAUGCCUAACGAGAUCCAGUCGAAUUGAGCAAUACACAUACCUUGUAGCCUUCAAUUCCAAACUGAAAAAGCUUAAUCCCGUUGGACUUUAAAAACUCCGUAUUCGGCUCUGGAUACGGCUCCGGACACAAACAUCUACAUACAUGUGUACAUAAUCACAUUAGGAUUACAUAAUUCAAAUCCAAAAAUUUAGAACAAUUGCACAUGAAAAUUUGGUGUAACGGCGACAGACUCCGCUUUAUUAGAGUAUGUUAUGAGUUCAAAUUUCAUAGACGACAAUUAUUAAAUAAAAAAUAAAUAUAUAACACUUUAAAUUAAUCAUACUUAUCUUUUUUUUAUUUUCCCGGAAAUGAAAUUAAUCAAACACUUACACACGCAUAUAUAUGCACACACAUGUACAUGAGCAGUAAACGAAUUUGCUUACAUGAUGGAGCGGAGGCCUAGAGUGUGGAGAAAGGAGAAGUUGGCGGGCUCCGGGAAGCCCGACCUGAAAAUGCCGUUAUCGACCAAGGAGAAGUUGAGCGGCGGAAUGAAGAGGUCGUCGGCGCAGUCGUCGGCGCCGGAGGUCUGCUUAUCCGGAGAGAGCUGGACGCCUCCACUUCCCGCGACAACUUCGAUUGUCCUGCACAUCUCGCUCUCGCUGUCGGUCUCUUGAUCCUCCGGAUGAUGAAGAUUAUUGAGCUCCAGUUUCAUGUCAGCUUAUCAAAAGAGUAGACGACUGACGAGGAGAGAGAGAGAGGCGUCGUUUUUAUAAAGGGCGAAAGUCGGGGCUUUUGGGGAUCGUUUCGGAUAUUCCUUGUAGCCUCUUGCCUUUUUUUUUUUUUUAAAAUUUUUUUUUGACAGACAGACAGUUGAAAAAUGGGGACCAGGAUCCUCUCCUGAGCAGAUGGAGAGGAUCCUCCUGACCAGGCCCAUCGGGCCGUUCAUUUUUUAUCCAACGGUUACAAACAGGGAGUUCCUCUAAAAGUUAUAAUAAUUAUAACCGUUGGAUAAAAAAUGAACGGCCCAAUGGGCCUGGUCAGGAGGAUCCCCUCCAUCUGCUCAGGAGAGGAUCCUGAUCCGAAAAAUGGAUCAGAAAAGGACGGAAGAGAGAAAGUCAGGUGGCGUAGACGAGCAAGAAACAGGUGUACUUUUUCUCGUUAAUUUUAAAGUAAAAUGUAAAAUAAAUAGUAUUAAAAUUGAUUUUUAAUGUAAAAAUGUGAUUUUUCGUUAAAAUAAAAAAUACCAGAAAUUUUUCAUUAAAAUUCUUAAUUUUUAAAUAGUAGUAAUGCUGAUCACCUUAUUUAUUAUUAAUUUUAUAUUUAAAUUUUUACGUUUAUGUCUAUCUAUGAUCAAAAUAUCAAAAUAAAACAUAGAUUUAGCCAUUUAAAUUUAUCUAACAAUGAUAAAUAGAUAGAGAGCACUGAGUACAAAUAUUCUGAUUUAUUAUUUUUUUGUACACUUGCAAGAUUUCGAGAGUUAUCUUUACAAACGUAAAGUUCAUUUUUUAACUUGGUAUUUCUAUCAUUCUUGUUUUUAUUUUAUUUUUUGUUCGUGCACUGUACGCUGAGUUAAUUUCUUGACCGAUCUUAAAUUCGGAGUGUGACAUCGUAUUUGGGCGCCACUCAUGGAAAGGGCGCGUAACAACCUUAAUUUCCUCUUUUUCCAAAUAAAUGCAAUUAUUUUCUUCCUUUUGUUAUGAACAUCUUAAUUAUUGAGUAGAUAGUCAAUUAUUGAUGUGAUCACAUGAUUUACCUAUGGCACAUCAAAGAAGAAUCGGCCGCUGAAAUUUAUUUUACUGAGUUUGUAAUUUGGUAUAAAAUUUGUAUUUCUUUUUUAUUCUAAGUGUGAACAGAUAUAAUAAAACAAACUACGAGAAAAUAAUUCAGCCUCUUAUUUAUAAAAGUUUGCUUACUUGAUAUGUGAUAUCUCAACAAUACAAUCAACAAAUGUGAUUUGAAUAAUCUUAUAUGUCGAGUACUCAACUUUGCUUAUUGAUUUACGUGCACGAAAGAAAUUGUUUUUGUUGAUGUAGAUUGGUUAUUUUCUUAAUUUAGGACAAUAUAUAUGAAAUGCAACGAAACACAAUUCCUCAUAACGUCUUUAACUAUAUGAUUAGUUUUACUGAUCACCCCAAAUUGGGCAUUUCCUUGCAUAAUUAUACCAUAAACCUCCAAUCAUAAUGAUUCUAAUGACUUGUUUAAUAUUCCAAAUGAUGAUCCAAUUGAAGCAUCAACCUCCGCCUCACAAACCCAGAAGAAUCAAAAGGGUUUUGCCACUUUGAAUAUUUUAAUAUCUUAUUGAAAAAAAUAAAAAAAGAGGGCAUGAAAAUGGUACAUUCUGAGGAAUAUGCUUACUGCCAUGAGUGAGAGACAAGAAGGUGGCAUCUUUGUAUCAUGGUGCCCAUGGGAAUGAGAGGCCGCGCGCCACGUCCUUUGUAUCAUGGUGCCCUUGUAAAAUCCCACCACCAGAAAAAAAAAAAAAAAAAAAAAAAAAAAAAAAAAAAUAUAUAUAUAUAUAUAUAAUAAUAAUAAAAAUUGAACCAGAAGGGCUCGCUCGCGUUCUCUGAUUACUCAUUGCUGACUUGGUUGCCUUGCUAGGUCUUCGACGUUGCUUUAUUAGAGCAAGUCCACCCCUAAAAAUGCGUUGUUACUCAACCCAUUUAAUCCAUUCAAAUGAAUAGUGAUUGAUCUCAAUGAAUAAUAAUUGGUCAAAUGAAUCUCCACUCCUAAAAAAUGCAAUGGCACAAAGUCUAAAAAAUGACCUGGCACAAAUGCAUCUUCAUCUCUAAAAAAUACGCUGGCACCCAGCCCAUUAAAAUAAUAUUAUUUUUUUUUUGCAAAAUAAUAAAAAAAUUAGUUUUAAUUUCUGAUAGAAUUUUUAACCAAUCUUGUCACGCCACGUGUCAUUAUCCGAAAGUACUAUUUUGUGGAUAGAUUUUCGAUAAGAUUUUCAACAAUCCCGACGCGCCACAUGUCACUAUCUGUUUAAAAUAAUUUAGCCAAUAUUUCGAUAAGUUUCCACGUAGCAAUUUUUUUCACGUAACAAUAUAUGAAAGCUUUGGUUGAAAGUGUUGAAAAUAUUGAAAUGUGGUGUAAGGUGAAAGAUGAUGGUUAGGUAUUUAUAGAAAAUAAUAAUCUUUUUUUUUUUCUGUAUUUUUAAACCAUUUUUAUUAAUUUUUAUUAAGUUAAUUAAUAUGGACCGUUGGAUAUGAAAAAGAUUCAAAUCCAACAGCCCAGAUUUGGACACGUGGCCAACUGUCAUAAUUCUGACUGUUUUUUUUCGUUUUUUGGGAUGAAAAUCGUGGACCGUUGAUCUUGGGAUCGGACGGCCCAGAACACGCCACGUCAUUAGUCAUUGGGUUUGAAUUUCAUUUUUAAAAAAAAAAACUAGCCGUUGGAAAUCCAACAGCUUAGAACAAGCCACGUGGCUUCUCCAGCUCUACUUUAAUAUGCCUGCAACAGCAGGCCCCGCCGCCUUUUUUCUAUUGGGAACGUGAGCCCAUGCGCUUAUGUUUCCCACGCGCCUAACGCAAAAAAAAAUUGGUAGUGCCUUGUGAUGUCAUGCUGACGCCAACGUGACGUCACAUAGGUCGGGACAUUGCUCAACACAUUUUGGGCCGGCCUACAAGCUGGCUUGGGCUGGGUGCCAACCUAUUUGGAUCAGCUAGAGGGUUUUUUAGGGAAGCCAGCCUAUUUUUGAGGCUUUGUGCCAGCCCACCCUAAUGGGGUGGAGUUGCUCUUAUGGCUAGUUUGAGGUGGCAGUGUUUUUUUUUUUAAACUGCUCCUGUUGCGUUGUAAGAAUACUGUGAAAUAAAAACAAUUAAGUAUUUGGUAAACUAUAGUGCUAAAAAUGCUUUUAGCAAAAAAAAAAUAAUAAUAAAGGUAGUAUUGUCAAUAUGAAAGUUUCAUUAAAAGUUACCAUUCACCUGCCUCUUAUGAGAUAAACACUUUUUAGAGAAAUAUAGUUAGAGUUGCUUCUAUUUUAGGCCCAUGAUUUUGAAAAAAAACACUUUUUUUUUUCUUUUACCAAACACAAUUUUUACUCCAACUUUUUUAAGAAGCUGCUUUUAAAAAAAUUUAUACAACUCCAAAUUAGGGCUGGGUUCGGUUGGCAAACCGUGCCAAAUUCCUUGUGCCACCUAACACCCACAUGUACAUAAUUACCGAAAAUCAGUUACCGCUAGCCAAUCAUCUUCUUGCGGUUGCCAACAAUUGGUUCAGCCAAAAUUAUUGGUUGGUUCGGUUGGUAAAUGGCACAACUGGUGGUUUCCACUUUUUCCUCGCUAUCUUCUAGUUCCAAGGGCUCAAUUUGAUUUCCAAAUUGGGGUGCUUGUUUGGUUGCAUUGUGUGGUUCAUUUUGGGUUAAUCCAUGUUGUGCACUAGCGGUUGAUUGGCUAGACUCUAUCAUCCUAAACAUAAGCAAUGCAUAUACAUUCAAAAUCAUAUAUAUGUACGUGUAUAUAUAGUAUCAGUAACCAUCAUGCUAUCAAUUUUGUUAACAAUAUUUUCUAUAUUUAUUAUGGCAUGAAUCAUAUACAUCUACAUAUAUUUUUUAAACCCUAAAACUAAGGAGUCAUUUAUUUUCUAAACCCUAAAACUGAGGAGUCAAGCAUGUAAAAAAUACCUAAAAUAUGUAAAUAGACAAAUAAUAUAUAUAUAUAUAUAUAUAUAUAUAUAUAUUGGUAGGUAUGGCAUACCGCCGGCAUACAAAAUCAAUUACCAAAGCCAUGUCAUUAAUUGUCGGUUCGGUAAAAUGCCAACCGAUUAUAAAAAAAAAUGCCAAAACUAUAUCAUAACAUUAUGAGCCGACUGGUAUGGUUCGGUCGGUAAAUCGGUUUAUGGCAAAAUUUCCCACCCCUACUCCAAAUUAGCUCUUAAUCUAUUCAAAUUAUAAUACUUGUUAAGUCGUGAUGAUAGUUAUUAUACAUUGACAUGUUACGUGGUAAUACAGUAUUGUGAGUAUAUGGAUUCUAUAAGAUGACGUUUAGAAUCUUGAUUAAUCAUAUUUUCUUAUAGGUUGGGUGUUGAUUUAAGUAAUUAAACUCUUAGAUACUCAACUAGUUUUGGUAAAAUGGGUUAAUUGAUGACGUUUAGAACUUCACAUGGUUUGAGGCUUUUGGAGCUUUUUAACUGAAUUAUUCAAGGGGAUUUCUAUGUAUAUGGUCAUUGCUGACAUUGGACUGAGUUUUUGUGAAUUUAAAAGUUAAUCCUGUAAAAAAAUAAAAAUAAAAUUUGCUUAACUUUUCAAGCUCCCUUUCAACUUUGGAUCAAAUAAUAGAGGCAUGAAUAUAUGAAAGAGUCAUGGAUCAAGUAGUCUAGCUACUGACGAUAUCUCAUUCGACUAGACCAAAUAACUACAUGUAAGCAUGUACAAACUGAAAGUCUUGAUGAAUUCUUUAAGUUUUAAGAUUGAGCGCUUGUUUGGAACUCAUUAUGUAAGAAAUAUUUAUAUGUUCAUAAGUGUUUUGAUAAAAGCGUUUCAUUAUAUCACAUUGAAAUUUUUAUUAAAAAUUCGCAUGGAAGUGUUUCUUAGUAUAUGGCAUGUAAUUCUCCAAAAAAAAUACUUAUACUACCAAUAAUCACUUCUUACUAAAAUGUCAAAUGCAGUCAUAAAGUGUUUUUAACCUUCUAAAAAGCAAUCAGAAACACAAACAUACUCUAAGGAUACACAAUAGCACACAAAGGCAUGAGUCUACUAUCCUCGAUCACUCUUUUAUUACCAGAAUAUUAUUACUACACUUUAGAGGCCAUAGCGUUUUAGCUCUUUUUUAAACCUUAACUAUUGCGUCUAAUUGUGCGAGUAUUUGAUCCACAACUUUACCUAAAUAACAUUCUAUCAUACCCGGACCACGUGUCUGUGCUGAUAGACACAAAAACACCCUCCCAUAGCCACCACCCACCUCCAUUGCAUAUAAUGACUCCACCUCUCUCACACCACACCCCCAUCGCCCGCCACCUACAGGUACAGCACCCAAGACCUUCUCCCUAAUAAGUUAGCCCCUCCAAAAAAGUAUGACCAGGACAUGACAUGGAAAUCAUCGAAGAUGACAUAUCCCACCAGACCAAUAGGGUACAUAUAUAUAAUUGAUUAUGGUUAUCACACCCUUAAUUAGUAGUAUGCAUGAGUUAUCACUGAUCAUUGGAAGAGUUUUUGUGGAUAUAUUUCCAACCUCUUUCAGCUCCACAAACUUAUGUAUAAUAAAUAUACAAUGAUUUUAAUCCACCCUAUCGUUUUCGAAGAAAGAUGCGUUGCGUGCUCAGCCAGCAUGAUCCAGGAUGAAUUGUCAAAACUAUUGAAAGAAGCAAAUGCCCAUUGGGACCAUCGAUGUUAUGUUUCCACUUUCCACUAGGGAUAAGGUACAACAAAGCGAUAGAUGUUGUCAUUCUUUCUAAGUAAACAUCAUAUUACUUUAAGUUUUUCUCCAAAGUUAGUAAACUCCUGGAUAAGUCAUGCAUCCUUGAUAAGUUUGAUAAGUCACUCUUAUACUUUCCUGUAGUACUGUGUUUAUAUUGCAAAGUGCUUAUAACUCAGCUAGCUAAAAAUAUUUAUCCAUGUACUUGAAGUCUUGAUCAGUUCGAUUCCUCCCCCCCUUGAUAUCACUAUUGCUUGUAUAAAAAAUUGCGUUUAUAUUUACGACGCCAUUCUAAAAUUUAAAGUUUGUAAUAGAAAGAUAACUAUAUGCAUAAACAUGUAACCACAAAUCUAUAAGACAAUCAUGCACUCGAGAUUUUAUGUUCAACUCUUGACUCGUGCCAUUAUCACUUUGUAUAAAACUAUAAGCAUGAAAUCCAAAUUUAAUUGUUGGUUAGCGUUAAUGGUCCUUUUAAUCUUGGACCCUCCCAUACGUGCAACUUAAAUUUGGCUGGUUUAUAUUGGACGGUACCAUUACCAAACAUACUAACUUUUAGGUCGGUUUUGGCACUAGCAUAAUUAAUAACUUGUUUAAUGUGAUUAGUGCAUUUAAGCUUUUGCUCUGGCCAAUCUGUUGGUAUAAUUAUGUCCACAAAUAAUAGUUGCCCUUCAAAUAAUUAUGUCCACAAAUAACGGCUACAAUAAUAUUGAUCGUCCAAAACAUCUUUGUUACUUUUAGUUUAUUUUAGAGAAUAAAUUUUUAGACUAUUGUAGACUACAUUAUUAUGUAACGGUUGAUGGUUGAACUUAUUCUUUAAAUCAUUAAAAAAAAUCCAACAAUCAACUACCACAUCAUGUAUUAUAUAAAAGAUGGUAUAAAAAUUUGGUUUUCCAAACAUUUUCCGUUCUCAAAUAUUGCUAGCUAGCUAGACCUCUCCCCAUAAUUAAGAAAAUGUUACAUUUCCUUCCGUCGCUAUCGUUUACACAGUCAAUAAAAUAGAUUGAAUUAGCUCCAAACAUGAAAGCUUUGUUUGACAUUUAAGAUUCAAUUAUUUUCAAGAGGUAGCUAGGUAGCAUACACGAAGUAUAAUUCAUUGGUUCAUAAAACAAAUUAACCAUUAUGCUGUCACCCAAUUCACUGACUGUUGAUAAUAUAUAUGUGGAGUAAUUAUGAUGAGAGGGGAUCUUGGGUGGGGAAGCCAAAUUAGGAACAUGUUAGGGGUUUGGACCAAACUGUUGGACAGGUUAAUUAGCAUAACAAAUUAGGAGGUGGUGGGAUGUGGAGUGUUGUUUGUGUCAAGGGUCAGACGAAUGAGGUGGUUUGGCUUUUGGACCUAAGACUUUCUCCUUUAUAAGGGCAUGCAAAGUCUCUUACAUUUUUGGUAUGCAACAACACUCAACAUCCUCGCACGCCCCUUACGAAUGGCAUGCACUUAUGGCUAUUAUGAUUGUAUUUACGUCCUCAUAAGAAGGAAUCAAAUUAUCAAUCAAUCAAAGUGCAAACGAAUAACGCGCAUUGAGUGCUAGGGUUUAGGGUUUAAUUUGCAUCGUAUGCACCAAAGAAGAUUAUGUAUGGGAACUACCUUCCUGCUUCAAAGUUCGAACCGCAAGACACGAAUCUCGUGCUUGUUAAACGAAUCACAAUCUGUUUGAACUUUGAACAAUACAUGUAAAUGGAGACCUAAAAUAUGACAAGAAACAAAUAAUGCGUGUUUGUCUAAACUCGAACAUGUCCAUAUUUUCUCAGCAUGCUAGUCCUCUCGAUCAAGCCAACCCUAAUUUUUUAAUACAUACAUUACAAGUUCAUAUAAUACAGUUACUAACAAACAACGUUUGAAACUUUGAAAACCCAGAAAAUUACGUAAAGGCAUGCAUGGUUGCGUAUGGCAUCUCUGCCCACCCAUGCUUUUUCAAAUGGAGAAUUUGUGUUACUUGUACGGACGCCAAGCUGGAUAGGUUGACCAUGGGAAAAAUGGGGAUGUGGCUACAUUAUUUUGUCAAGCAAGCAAUAAUUGGAGGGUUUGGGUGGUUUUGUGAGAAAUGUGACAGGUGACUUUUGAGUCUUGACUAUUUGUGUAUUACUUCGCCGAUCAAGUAUUGACUUGUUUGCGGAUAAGAAGCACAACCAACAACAUUUGGUUGGAUGGAGAAUAUUUUUAAUUACUCUCUUUGAUUUUUUUAUGUUGUAAAACUGUCAAUUUAGAUUUGGAAUCCAUGUGGAAAGAAUCUUGUGUGAAAGUCAAGUUCUCAUGGCAAUUCAAGUGGCUAUUAGAAACUCAUUAGUUACGUAUUGUAUCAACUAUCAAGUGCAAACGAAACAUCAUAGGAACAAAUUCUUGAUUAUUUCAAUUCAAUUUUCAAUAAGAUGAAAAUCAAUAGAAAUUCUCUUGCGUACAUUUUUAUUCAUGAAUGAACGAUUGAGAUUUAACUAAUUAAAUUUUUUUAUUAAAUCUCAACCGUUCACAUGUAAACAAAAUGUGCGACUGAGUAAAGCUCAUGAAAUUAUUGCCUGAUUAUUGUGGAAAGAGAUCCUCUUCGGAUCUCUUCCAUCAAGGCCAUCGGAUCAAGUGAUCCGGGCCUUUGAAAUUUUAUUCAACAGCCCAUCUGUUUUGAUCCUUUAAAAACUAUAAUAAUUUUUUGUCGUUAGAUAAAAUUUUAAAGGUCCGGAUCACUUGAUCUAGUGACCUUGGUGGAAGAGAUUUAGAGAUGAUGUCUUUCCGAUUAUUGUUUCUAUCAGGCCCACCUUGGAAGACAGCCUGCACAGAUCUUUGGUCUUGUAUUGUUGACACUGGCAGGAGCCCAUUGCAAACUUGAUGGUUUGUCAAAUUCCUCACAAACCACGAAUAGUUUUUUACAUGGAAUUAUUCAUAAACCAUGCAUCUAGGACCAACUCUAAAAGUUCACCCAAUAAGUAGCAUGAGGACAGACUCCUCAUAUUUCCAACCUAAGCAUAAUGCCAUAAUGCUAACGUUUUAGGUUUGAUUUAAAGAUAGUUGGGGUUCCAUCAUAAAAUCAAAUGGUAAUUUGGGAAGUAGCCUAACCUCUUAGAAGUCCUUACAAGUUCAACCUACUCUGAUACCGUGAAGAAAAUUGAGUUUUCACUAUAAAACCAUUUGGUAAUAUGAGGAGUAGUUCAACUUACUUAUAAGCCAUCCCUUCUCCCAUCAAUGUGAGAUUCAUUCUCGACAUAAUCAUGUCGUUCUUAAAUAUCGUUAUGAAAUUUCUUGAUACUACUAUUUAGAUAUAAUUUAAAGAUUGUCUAGGACUGCUUUUGUUGCAAAUAUUUUCGCUAAAGAAAAUAUAGUUUCCAUCGGACCCUAGCAUUACUCUUCCGCUUAUAAGUAUUUGAGUUUAAGCAUCGAGCUUAUGAAAGAUAUUUUCUUGCAGGAAUCCAUCAUGGACUUAUGACUGUUAACUUCUCCCGUAGUUGCCGUUGUUUCUAGGACUCCUAACUAACAACUCACAUGCAUACACUGUUGUAAAAAUCUCUGCCUAGGGUUGCCUAGUGUUAGGCUACUAGCCGCCCCCCCCCCCUCUUGAUUAGCCUCUAGGUGUUUAAAAAUUAAGAAAGUGCACUUAGACCUGCUACCUGCCUAGGCCGCCCAAAACCCUCCUAGGCACCCUUUUAAAUCACAACUCUCACUUCAAUAGAAAAUCGAUAACUUUCAUUUUGCAUUUUAUUUUUUCAAUAAAAUGUAAAAGACUUGUUGAAUACUUGGAUGGAUACUCAUUAUAUGUUUGUUCCCCAUGUUUUAAAUAUUUUCUAAUACUUUAUAAUCUACUUGUAAUUUUGUUUUGCAGUUUAUGUAUCUCAAUACAAUUAUGUGUUUUCUUAAGUAAAUAAAUAGACACAUAUUUAUACAAUAUAUAAUAAUUUACUUAAAUCAUCCUAGUCCGCCUAGGCUUCGCUUAGCCACCUAGGCACUAAACCCCAGCUUGCCACCUGACUAGUGCCUAGUGUUUUCUAGAUCCCUGCUUGCAUACAAUUCUAGCUCCACAGAUAUAUAGUAUAUGGGAUUGAAUUUGACACAAGAGUACGCUUUUGAUUAUCUGAGAAUACUAAAAGUCCAAUCAAUGACUGUCUUUGUUCUUUAUGAUCGCUUAAUUUGUUUUUAGUCUAGGUUUUUGUUUUUUUUAUUUUUUUUGAACAAACGAUAUUAUCUACACUAGGGGAUUUGGGAGUAAGCUAAACCUCACAGUGGGCUAUCAAUAAUGUUGUUUAAAUUUGUCUUUGGCUAGAAUCGAACCUAAGAUGUCAUGCCCUGAUCCCGACAUACGUCUAGGAUCAACACGUGAUGUCACCAAGUACCCGUAUAUCUAACAUACCCCGCCUUUGGGAUAUGGGCAAAGCACAACUCAAGAUUCGGAUUGUGUGGUAAUUUUUUGUAUACUUUAUGGCUACAUCUAAUCUCCUCGUUAGACUGCCUACGUACCCUAAAUAGGGAUCAAGCCAUUCGUAGUUCACCAUUUGUUAAACUCUGAACUUUUUGUAAAAUACUUUCUUGCAGAAAACAUAGAGUACCACAUUACACAUAAACCAUAAGCCAAACAAGAGUUGUCAUCAUGCCAUUCACACACACAUGUGCAUUCCAACACCAUUCCACAAUCACAUGAAUCAAUAACACAUACAAUACACCAAAAUGUACGGCUAAAGUGACACAAGUCGGCCAAAGCCUACAUCUUUGAAGAAUGUGAUUUCGAACCAUUCAACGAAAUCCAACAACAUCGGGUUUUGGACCACUCAAUGGAACCAAAAUACCAAGCGGGAUUUCAGACCACUCAAUGGAAUCCAAACCAGGACACGAUUCCUAACCACUCAACGGAAUCAUAAAGUACAAUGGAUAUUGGACCACUCAACGAAAUCCAAGGCAAGAUACGAUUUCGGUCCACUCAAAGGAAUUACGGAGCACAAGGGAUUAUGGACCACUCAACGGAAUGCAGAUGGAGCAGGGAACCAGACCACUCAACAGAACCCCAGCAGAACCCAGUUCUGAACCACUCAACGGAACUGAGCGGAAGUCCAAGAAACAUAACAACGGCUCGAAGAAACAAAACAUGAAUCAAGUGCUCAAUUUACAAAGGCUUAACGAAAUGAAACAAAGCACAAGCACUAAAUUUAGACGGGUCCACGAAGUGAGAAAUGAAACAAUAUCUAAGCAAAUAAAUCCCCAUGACAAUGGGUUAACGGUCCACUACUGGCCCUCGUAUUUCACAAAUAUUUCCAAUCCACAAAUUGAAUCACAUUUCAUAACAAUAGAUAGAUGGCCAAAUAUAAAAAUACAUUUUAAAAGAAAUCACAUUUAAGAAAACCAAGUCAUAUCCACAAAGAAUACUAAAUACGAAAACAAGGUAAUAACCAUAUCACAUAUAUUAAAGUCACUCACUAACCAAUGUAGGCCCACUAGACUUCACUUAGUCUCUAGUAGUACUAAUUUUAGUAUUUAUAACGAUUCGAGACAUGUUGACCAAAAGUCAACUCUCAGUCAAUGAUGAGGUUCACAACCCUACGUAAUUCGAUCCGAAAUAUCCAUCCAUGGAUUCCCAAUCCGUAAUUUCCCAAGAGUCUCAUUUAUCUUCUAGAACAAUAUCCUAAAAUUUUGGAACGAUCCAACGGUCAGAUCUUCGCCAAUUGCUAGAAUUAGGUGGCAGUCAACAAUUAGUUUUACAAACUUAAAAAUUCAAUUCAUCAAGAUCUAUACGUUGGAUUCCCGAUCUGUCAAUUUCUACUGUCCUCAAAUUUUACAUAUAAUAACAUAUUAAAGUUUGGUAACGAUCUAACAGUCGGAUUGUCGAUUGUUAUAAUGAUCAAGUGGCGGCCUCUAAUGAAAAUAUGUUCAAACGACGGGAUUUCAUCAAUUGGAUGUCACAUAUGAAAUCGGGGUAUCGAAUUUAGCUUAGAAAGAUAAAGUUGGCCCAUUGGUCACACGUCGCCGCAUGCAGUGGUUUUCGACAAACGGAAACCCAAUUUUCCGACGAACUCCAAAAUUUACAAAUUUUACAGGAUUGUAAAGCAUAACAAUGGGAAGAACUAUGUGGGCCAAAAUCCAAUUCGACCGGAAACACCUAAAAUCAUCCUCGAUCCGUCGGAAACCCUAGAAAUUGGUGUUCCUUGAUUCGUCGAAUUCGCAGCUCCGCUACCCCCAAACUUGUUUGGUUUAUGUUCUUGGAGUCAAGAGACGCCUGAGGGUGGUGGUGGUCGCGGAAAACCUUUCAGAAAUGCCAGAUUUUUCGCCUGCACCCACGAAGCCAUUGGCUUUGAUUUUCACGAAAAGACACAAAAUCAACUUGGGUUUUGGAUGGAAAUGGAAGAAUAGUUUAUGCUGAAUUGCUUCCGGGUGAUGGGUGGCUACGAAUCGACGGAAAAACCGCCUGAAAAGGCGUCAGAAAACAUGGUAAGAGUUGGGUCGCGCAGGAAACAGGUUUAGGUAUUUGGUAUUUCUUUUUUCUCUCCCUUCCCUCCUUUCUUUGUUUCCUCAUUGGGCAGCCCUCUCUCACAUUUCCCUCAUUUCUCUUCUCUUCUUCCUAUCAUAGCCACACACAUGGCACCACAAAUCAUUGCUCCAACAAAUCUGGAUCCUUCCAGAUAAUGGUUAUAUCUCAUUCUAAGCUUCGUUUGGCGAAUGGUUUUCGCCUACGUGCUCGUGAGGUCAAGCUCUGUCCAAAUAUGUAAAUAAAAGUGACAAAACAUAUAGGAAUUAACUACGUCCUCAAAAAGUUUGUUUAGUUCAUUAAGGGUGUUUUCCUCCUUUUACUUAUUGAAAAAAAAAAUUAUAUGCCGUAAUUAUAAACAUGUCGAAACUAAGAAUACGAAAUAUGUAAUUUUAAAGGCUUAUUAUAUUAACACGCCACAAAUUGUUGAAUAAACCCCACAUACUUAAUACACCCCACAUUUGCUUUUUCACUUAAAAAUUAUCUUAAUACACCCCACAUAUUUUCCCAUAAUACCCCCACACCCCACAUUCUCAAUAUGCAUCUUAUAUUUUGUACAUACAGUCCACAUCCAAGUAAAUGAGAAAAUCCAUAAAAUAAUUUAAUCUACUAAAGUUAAGAUCUUAUUCUAAUUUGGAUUUUUUGAGAUCAUUCUAAAGCAUGGCUUUUUUAUUGAGGAUUUGGCAGGCGGCUGUUGGCAGAAGAGACCCUAGAUCCCCACCCAAAAAGGAACAAAAAAACACAUACAUUAGGUCAUAAUUUACUCUCCAACUCAACAUAGUCCAACAAAGCAAGUCCAAUGCUAUAUCUCCAAUUUUGUACCCUAAAAGAUGAAUACGAAUAUAGAAGUUUAAAUAACGUAGCAAACGCAAGAUUAAAUAAUUAUCGAUGUCAUCGAAAUCACUAAAACAAUGAAAAAUAUGAAGUCUUACCUCAUGUGAAGCUUCCGAAACAUUGAUUUCGUGUUUCAUUCGUCAAAACAAUUUUUCUCAAUCAACAUGUUUGUAGUUUCAUUGGUUAUGGUUUUGUUCAACAAUGGAGGAUGAGAGGGUUUUGAUAGUUGAGCAGAUAAAUAAUACGCUAAAAGUGAUUUGGGGUGUAUUUAGAAUUUUUUUUUUUAAAACCUAAUAAGGUUUAAAUUGUCAUUGCAUAAUGGGGUAAAUAAGUUAUUUAAUAUUAAAUUUUAGUAUGGGGUACAUUCAACAUUUUUUGGGGUGUUAAUAUAAAAAGCCAUUUUAAAUAGUGAAAUCCGGGGACUGGAUUUCAUAUAAGACCUCUCACUCACAAAUGAAGAAGAAUACUACCAGCCCAUAGUACUAAGUGACCCAUUAUGAUUACAUAAUUGAUCAUGCUAAGCUCCGUUGAGCACGAUAUAAUUGAGCUAAUUACAUUUCAUAAACUUCAAUUUUGGAGUAAUUUUUAAAAUGGAUAAGGUACGUAGUUUUAAUUUUCUCAUAUGGCUCCAUAAGAUUUUGAAAUCGUAUCCAGUUUAUGACUGUGUGGUCCUUUAUUAAAUUGAUGACGUACGUGGCGAGUGCGAGCCUCGUUAAUGAGAACCAAUUGCUACAAAUCAAGUCCAAAUUGUGUAGGUGAGGCUUCUACGCAACCUAAAACUGUGACAUGACUACAAUUAACACAAGACAAUCAAAUAAAUAAAAUGUAUUAAACGAUACAAUUUUUAAAACCUCAAAAGUGCAUUAUAAAAAAUAUUGAAACCUAAUCUAUUUUGAAAACCAACUCAAACCUAAGAGCAAUUCCACCAUUGCUUAUUGCCUUGGGGAUAGGCAACCCAUUCCACUCUCCCCCCUCCCCAAAACACUCCAGCCCACUCGGGCAAUUGGACCCAAGGCGAGCCCGAUAAAGAAGUCAGGUAAUAAUCGCGUCCAGUGCCUUGCCUAUGUGGCAUAAGGCUGACGUCGUCAUGAUGUCAGUCACAAUUUAAAUUAUUAAAAAAAUUAUAGAAAUUAUAACAAACUAAUUAAAAAUAUAAAAAUUUAUAAUUUUUUUCUAUAAAUACCUAACCAUAUUCUUCCACUUUACACUACAUUUCAAUAUUUUCAAAUACUUUUAUCUAUUCUUUUAUUAUUAUAAUAUUUUAAUAUGAAUUGGAUCUAACGAAGGACAUGACACAGGACCGAGCACAAUGGCGUUCUAAGAUUCAUGUAGCCGAUCCCACUCAGUGACUUGGAUUUUCUAAGUCUCCAACCGAGAAGUUUUCCUCACUCAGGAAAUUAAGGGAACACUACCUCAACCUACAUGCUCCACUCACAAAGCUCCAACAAAAGAAAAUUCAAAGAACUUAGAGAAGAAGGCUUUGGUGUAUUUAACACAAUACGUUGAAAUGAAGGAAAGCUUAUUUAUUGAUAUCCCCGAUAAGCUACAAAUAUGUACAUAUACAUGAGUCAAAAUAAACAAACAAGAGAGAGCCUUCACAAAGGUUGCUUAGGAGAAGUCGCAGCAGUCGGUAGAGCCCCAGAAAGAGAAGGCACCGGAGGGGGAUCAUUCGGAGCCUCAAUACUGGACAGAACCCUAGAAGGAGGAGGCAUCAGAGGUUGAUCAUUUGGAGCUUCAUUACGCGGUACAGCCCCAGAAGACGAAGGCAAUAAAUGCCUUUGGAACAAACCCACAAAUCUCUGAUGAUCAAGUAAAACCUGACCAUCAGAUUCCUUCAUAUGGUCCAGCUUCCUCUUCAUGUUUGUAGCAUAGUCAUGUGCGAGACGGUGCAACUGUUUAUUCUCAUGCUUGAGCCCUCUAAUCUCCUGUUUGAGACUCAUCACUUCAGCCGCCAAUGAUUCAACUUGGCGGGUUCGAGCAAAUAGGCGUUGGGCCAUAUUAGACACAGAACCUGCACACUGAACACUGAGAGCCAGAGAAUCCUUAACAGCUAACUCAUCAGAUCGUUUGGAAAGUAGUCUGUUAUCUUUGGGAGUGAGAAGGUUCCUGGCCACCACCGCAGCGGUCAUAUCAUUCUUCAUAACGGAAUCCCCAACGGUAAGAGGACCAGUAGGGGAGACGAAGGAUGGGCGCCAUAUGUUGUCUGGAGAAGGCGGGGCUGCCUCUUCAACAAGGUUCAAGUCAAAACGACGGUCGGAGGGGCCAGACAUUUUCAAAGGUGUUGAAGAGAGAAGAGGUCGAACAAAAUCAAGAUCUUAGAAGUGUAAGAAUGGAGCUUCUACUGGUGGAGAUUCAAGUGUGCUUUGGAACUUAAUGCCAGCCCCUAUAAAAAAUCUGCACUCGACGGAGCUUCAGAAAUCGAAAGAGGUGCCUGCUCAGAAAUCGAAGAGGCGUUUUGCUUUCUCAAAAGCUGGGCUGCUCAGAGACCACGAGGGUCGAUCUCAGAAAUCGAAGAGGCGUCUGCUUUCUCAAAAGUUGGGCUGCUCAAAGACCACGAAGGCCGAUCUCAGAAAUCGAAGAGGCGCUUGCUUUCUCAAAAGUUGGGCUGCUCAGAGACCACGAGGGCCGAUCUCAGAAAUCGAAGAGGCACCUACUUUUCCAGCCUUGGCAGCACCUGUCACACGCACACUCAGCUUUGCGGAAAUUAUGGGCAUUCUGUCGAAGACUUCUGGUGAAGUAGAAAGCACAUGAGUCUUACUGUUCAAUCACUCACUUCCCACACGCAAUAGUAGCUCAUGUGUAUCACAGAUAACUUUGCCAAAGUUCUCUGCCAAAGUUGAGCACGUGAAGCUUGCAGCUUCCACUACAUCGCUCUGACCAAGACGGGUAAAAGAAUAGCAAAGAAACAGGACUAACAAAGUUUAGACACAUAAAUUUUGAAGGUCUAGCUAUCCCAUAUUAUUACCCACAAGGGUAAAGGAACAGUAUCACUGCUGGAUAAUUGGAAAGUCCCUGUGUGUCAACCUCUGUGCUUCGUGGCAAGGUAGACUAGCAAACAUGCCCAACCUUUACUCACAUUCGAGAAAACACUCCCAACAAGAUUGCUUGCUCCAAAAUCGAAGAGGCACCGUCCUCCGAAUCUCGAGAGCCAGACUCCCAACAUGACUACUUUCUCAAAAAUCGAAAAGAGGGUAAAGGAACAGUACCAUUGCUGGAUAAUUGGAAAGUCCCUGUGUGUCAACCUCUGUGCUUCGUGGCAAGGUAAACUAGCAAACAUGACCAACCUUUACUCACAUUCGAGAAAACACUCCCAACAAGAUUGCUUGCUCUAAAAUCGAAGAGGCACCGCCCUCCGAAUCUCGAGAGCCAGACUCCCAACAUGAUUACCUUCUCAAAAAUCGAAGAGAUACCGCUCUCCGAAUCUCGAGAGCCAGACCCCCAGCAGGAUUGCUUUCUCAAAAAUCGAAGAGACAUCGUUCUCCGAAUCUCGAGAGCCAGAUCCCUGAUAGGAUUGCUUGUUCGAAAACCGAAGAGGCAACACUUUCCCAACUACAAGAGCCGGAUCUCCUUGGAUAAAGCUGUCUGUAAUCUUCACACGCAACAUCAGCUUUCCACAUACCACAGACCACUUUUUCAAAGUGCUCUGACAGGGUAAAGGAAUAGCAUUACUACUUGUUGUUAAGGAGACUCCUAUAUAUGUCAACCUCCAUCCCCAACGGACAGACAGACCUGCAAAAAUG